UGAUUAUUUCGUUCACUCCUGUUUAGGUACUCAACAAUAUUAAAUGUUGUUAAACAUGGCAAGGGGUGAAGCAUAAUAAAACUACCUAUCUAGGCAAUUUAAAUGAGGCCGGAAACAACGAACAACAAUUCCGGAAAAUCCCCAUAUGCAUAUUUAGAAUUUGGUACUGUUCUGCCCUAAAACAUAUUUUAUUGUUGUUAAACAGGAAAAUAAAGUGCACCGUAUUAAACUAGGCAUUUUUCCACCCCAUUUACAUAUAAAGUUUAUUAAAUUCGGAGCUACGGUUAUUUAGUUAUGAAUUAAAGCAUUUUAACAUGGCAUUUAAGCAAAUUUAAUCAAACAUCAAUUUAAACAUUUUGAACAUGGAUGAAAGUGGCAUAUUAUGAAACUAGAUGAAAAACUAAGCAUUUUUCCUAUAUAAAGUUUUUACAUAUGAUGCAUAGUUCAUGAGUUAUUAUAUGCAUGAUGCUUGAGGGUUUUUCUGUAAAACUGCAAUUCCCUGGAUAAUAUGGUAAAACAUUCAGAAUUGGAAAAAACGAUGCGGGCCGAAACUGGCUGGCCCGAAUGUGUACAGGGGAGGGCACUGGAUCUGGGUGCUCACCAAGCCGCAUGGGCCGGUUGGUGGAGGAGCUGGCAGGCCGCGGCUAGGCCUUGGAGCGCUGCGGCUGGAGAGGCCCAGGCAGCAGGGCGACCGGUCAAUGACGCGGGCGAGCGGUUCUGGCGAGCUGCAGGUCGAUGCAGAGGAAGCAGAGGUCGGCAACAGGCAAGGUGGAGGAACUCCGGCGAGGCAGAGGCGGCGAAGACGGCGUGGAGGCGAACGGAGGCCGGGCAUGAUGGCGAGAUCCGGCGAGCACGCGGAUUGGAUGAGGCAGCGGCAGAACUUGGCGCGCGGGCGAUGCUGGAAGCAGAGGAGCAACGCGACAAUGAGGGCGGCGCUGGAGGGUCCUGGCGGCCGGACCCGGCGACGAGGGGCUCGUGCUCCUGGACGAGAGGACGCUCGGGCCUCGGGAGCAGAGGAUGAGCGGUGCCGGGGCUUGGCGAGCUCGGCGUCGAGGAAGGAGCUCCAGCGAGGUGACAAGCGGGAGGAGGCGAGGGACGCCGGCUGGGUAAAACGGCGACGAGGACUCGUAGGGAAGGACCACGGGCGGCGAUGACGGCGAGUGGACGAGGCGCUGCUGCGCUGGCACGGUCGACGGGGCGUAGAGGAGGUCGCUGGCGGCGGGGCUCCUCCUGUUGACGAACCAAGACAAAGGGAGCGAUGUGAGAGCGAUAGAGAGAUAGGAAAAUGGGGAAGGAGGAAGAGAAGGGCGACGGAGCUCCGGCCCGGUCACAUCGGUGGUCUACGGGCGUGCUGUAGAGGUGGAUCGAGCCGGUGCUUGGGAGGACAGGGCCUCAGGUGCUCGCGGUUGCAGGGAUGAAGGGCGGGGGGUUGAGGCGACCAAGAGGAGGCACGGGGACGGAGAGGUUGCGACGGCGCCUGAUGGAGAUGUGGCUAGAUCGGAGUUCGAGGGAGGCUUUGGAGGAGCUCGCUGGUUGGGUGGAUCGAGAGGAGGAGGCUGGCUGCGAGGGGAUUUGGGCAGGUGCAGGCUGCAGCGAUCUGGUUUGGUGGAGAUGGAUCGGGAUGGAUCCCGAGGCGGAAGAGGACUGACGGCGGCGACUGGGAGGAUGGGACAAGGCUCCUAAUUUUUAAGGUUAGGCAGGUAGGUGGUCUAUUUAUAGAUAGAGGAGAAGGUUUAGGGUCUCACCAAUUUAGAUCUGACGGUCAGAAAAAUAGGUUAGGGAAAACAAGUAAGAAACCGAAGAUAUUUGGGGGAUGAUUGGAGAUGAUCCGGAUUCAUCGACAACAAUAACCCGGGUCGGGUUCGGGGAAGUUUUGGACGAGCAAACAAGGGGUUCGAGCAUUGAGCAAAGAGAUUAAGCGUCCAUACAAGAGGGACUCGAAAAAAACGGUUGGUCUCGGAACGGUCAACAAACACAACAGAGAGAAGCGAGGAGCGGCAACUACGAGCUGAUGCAAGUUUAAUGAAAACAUGCAGAUGCAAUGCACAUGAUGCUAUGAGAUGAGAUGCAAGACAUGAACGGAAUGCAAAACAGAAACCCAACCACAGAGGAAAUAAAGAUCACAUAGCCGGAAAUAGCAAGAGUUGGAGUUACAAUUAUGGAAAGUUACAUCCGGGGUGUUACAUGGUCCCUCGCAAAGGUCUUGAACUUGGGUUUAUGAAGACGGGCCGAACUGGGCCACUACUGAGCCACGCCGCAGGCUGCAUGCAGGCAAGUCUAGAUACCCCCAUAUCCAGAACACUGACAGAAUGUGCCACUCUUCUGCGACAAUGAAAGCGCCAUCAAGCUUUCGAAGAAUCCAGUUCAGCACUCGAAGACAAAGCACAUCGAGAUCCUUCAUCAUUUUCUCAGAGAUCAUGUCAACAAAGAAGACAUUGAUAUCAUUCAUGUCAACACUAAAGAGCAACAGGCAGAUAUCUUCACUAAGCCCUUGGAUGAGAAGAGGUUUUGCAAGCUGCGGUGAGAGCUAAAUAUCUUAGAAUCCUCAAAUGUCCAGUGAAUGGACACACAUCCUAACGCUUAUGCAUGUUGAUGACUUAGAUGUGCAACACACGAAGUAACAUAUUUCUUUAAUCAAUGAAGACUUACCCUCUAAGUGUGAAUACAUUAACAUGGAAAUUGACUUUGCAUCGCCACGAUAAUUGUGCGCCGUGUCUGGGUCUACUACUUCCUAUACGGUGGGUAACGCCACCACCAACACUUUUCGAAGAUUUUCAUUUGGCGUCAUAAUUGCAUUAUCUUUGCAUUUUGUUUGUCUUCAACAUUGGUUUAUCUUCAAAAUAUAUAUCUUCGCAAUGUUGAUUUGUCCUUAUUUUUAUAUAUAUGAGUGCAUAUGUGUUCUGUCCUCUACAUCAUUCACUUAUAGCUAUGUCUUCAUGUUGCUAAUUUUAUGACCUAAGUGAAUGUGAUCGGACCCUAAUCCCUUCUGUGCUACUCCCUAAAAUUCCUUCUGUCCAAGUCAUGUGCAUUCUGUUGACACUUGUUGAAUAUCUUCUUUGCAUCCUUGGCAGCAGAAGAUACAUAGACACAUAUUUACAAACUGUUUUUAAUGUUCUAUCCUUUUGCUUGAAAACUGGAGAAGCCGGAACGACCACCCGACACUCCAGGCGUGCGUGGGAACAUAGGUCAACUCCUGACAAGUUGCAUGCAUGCCACGUGUUCCUCAUAUGUGAACCGCCAGGGGCACCUGCAUAAUUGUGCUGCGCUGCCCUCCUCUUUCUUAUAAAUACUCACCCCUCGCAGUCAACAUCUGUUCUUCCACCUCGCCACCUCGCUCAAAACCCUAGCGCCUCUGCUAGCUCGCGUCGACGCCGGACAUGAAGCGCUUAGCUGCCAUGACUUUUUCGAUGCCAUCCUCUCGCCGGCCGUGGACCUCUCCCUCUAUACCGCCCCAUAGGUGUCUUCCACCGCCAAGUUAGGGCGCGGGAGAUUGGACUGCUCGGCCUCCCUUCUACUUCGUCCAGCAGUUCAUUUGUGGUAAGUAAAACUUACUUUUUACAGUCUUUUCGAUCUGUCAAAUCCAUCCACUUCAACCAAAAGUGGUUUAUACACUUUUAAAUCUGUAUUUUUCUCUUUCUGAAUCUCAUACAUUGCAAAGUUUGUUCACUUAUGCGUCAAAACUAGUUAGUUUCCUCACUUGUACCUAUUCGCGGAUUCAUACAAAUCUGGAACCAACUUCCUUCAUUAAGUGAAUGUCUUUGCACCAUGAGGUCAAUGUCUUCUAAACUGAUUUAUCUUCAAAAUCUUCUGAGAAUGCAUAUGACCUCUUCCCCUUCCCUCGCAUCUCUAAUGCUGUCAUAGGUACAUGUCCAUGGGAGAAUUCCUUGGUUCUCAUAGUAUGCAUUCAUUUGCAAAAUACUUAUAGCGUCACAUCGAAUCUCCUGAAGCCAGUUCUUUUCUGACCCGCAGACGAAAGCCAUUCACUAUUUUGAAACCAAUCAAUCUGAACAUUAUGGCUUCAGAAAAGUCUGCAUGGAAAGGCGGCAGGCAACACCGUGGCAACACUGCACUUGAUUUUCCUGAAAAUCUCUAUGAUCUAUACAAGUCUGGCCCAGAGGAGAGUUAUACCCAGCGCAAGAACCGGAUUCAGUGGAUCAGAAGAUAUUGGGCAAAGCAAUGGUUCAAGUACAUGUUUGUAACACCUGAAUAUGUUGAAAAGAAUGCCAUCAAGCGCCUGUGGGGUGACUGUCAUUACCGUGGCUUGGUACCAAAGAACAAGGCUGAAGCUAUUGAACAAGGGUUCUAUCCUUGUAUGGUUAGAGGACCACAGCCUGAAAAUGCCGACCCAUCUUCUCUCUUAUGGUGUCGUGAAGACAAUAUUUUCAAGUGCAACUUUCAGUUCGCAAAACAUUCUCCCAUCAAGAAUCAAAAGGAGUUUGGCCUCAACUUCAACCCUGGCCCCUCCGCUCCAAGACCUGAUGGGACUCGUGAAGCAAAUGAGAACAGGAUUGGCCCCUUCGCCAACUUUGACGGGCUUCUGUCUCAUAUUGCUGCCCAAAGAGCAGUUGUGGAGCAAUCUGUUGAAGAAGCCGAUUCUGAUGAAGCUCCAUCACCACCAAAGCAGAAGAAGAAGAAGGCAAAAGCUUCCAAGCCAUAUGCCUCUAUUGCACCAAAGGUUUCAACCAGGAAGCCACUGAAUACUGCCCCGCCUAAAUCCAGUGUGCAGUCUGAAGAUUUAUCUCGCGUGUCCAAGAGGACCAAGAAGCCAUUACCCAAAAAUGCCACUGGGAAAACCCUCACUCCUGUUGCCGUUCUGCACAACGAGGAUGACACCAUUGAUCUGUCCAGCGAUGAAGAUCUUGGUGAUGAAGCCCUUGAGAUGCUAAUCAAGAAUAAGUAAGAGGCGGAGAUUUUCGGUGAUCUGCCCCUCUUUGAUGUAGACAUCUAGAACAACUUCAUUGAUGAAUGGUUCAAUGACCAGAACAUAUGCAUCGACAGUUUGCAGCGGUGAGUGGGCAUCAGCGUCACAGUCCACUCUGCAAUAGCUAAUGAGCUGGCCCUGGCACAAAAAUUGGUAGAGCUCAAGAACAAAAUUGACUAUGAGAAGGCCCAUUUCAAGAAGAACAUGCACAAGCUCAGUGUGGCAGAUGUGCAAAUCUUCAAGAAGAUGUUGAAUGACCUCAAGACGGAAUUCCAUCAGAAGCGUGAAGAGGCCAAAGUCUCUUGAGAACGCAUGAAGUCUUAUGCUCAGAAAUGUGUGCAGGCACACAAUGAAGCUGAAAAGAGGAAAGCUCUUGGGCGUCCUGGCAUUGAUCCCAGAAUGGCUGGUAGGAAGAGCAAAAAGCAUGUUGAAGCAAAUCCUGACACUACAAGGCAGGGACAACCCAAUAUUGUCUUCCCUGCCAGCAUGACUGGCUCAAAGCCAAAGGUCCCUUUAGUUGCUUCUGAGCUCAAAAAGACUAGGGCAGCUGAAGCUGAAGCCAGGAAGAGGAACCACAAGGACACAUCUGAUGAUGCCCCUUCCAAGAAAAAGAUGAAGACUAAGGGCUCUAAAUCUUCAAAGAAAAAUUGUGCUGCUGCCCCUGAGCCCCUUGUUGUUGAUCCCAUAUCUGUUGCAUAUCCUACCUCUGCAAAUCGAGAGCGCCGUCUUGUUGUCCAUGAGCCUGCUCCCACAGAGGCACCAGAAUCUGAAGAAGUUCCAGCUGUUGACCCCAACGCAGCUGAAGACAUUGGUCAUGAAGACAAUGUAGUUGAUGAUGAAGUCCUUCCUCAGCUCGAGCAUCAGUUGGUACCAUCACCUGCUCCAACAACCAGUGAAUACAUUAGCAUUGGUCGUCCAUUGAUGCCAAUUGCUCAAGAUGACUCCUUGGUUGAGCGCCCACAAGAAGAAACUCCUGUUCAAGAUGAAACACCCCAUACUCCACCAGCUCAAGUUACCUAUCCGGUACUUGAUGACGACAACUACAUGGAGACCACUCCAUCUCCAAAGGCGUCGCAUGCAUUUUGCUGGCUUCACAAAGGUCUCAAGCCCUCCGUAUCCAUGUCCACCAUUCUGGAAGAAGAUUCACACCAAUCAAGCUCAGUGGCACGUCAAGUGUUCCCUGAAGAGAAUCCUUCUGCAACUGAUCAAGCGUCUGAAGCUAAUGUUGUUGAAGACAUUCUAGCUGCAUCAGCCGAUGAAGAAAGAAGAGAAGAAGAAAGAGAAGCCACACCCUCUGGUCGUGGCUGACCCUCCGGUCGUUGACCAAAUGGAGGUUGAAAACAAUGAGGAUGCCACCAACACUGCUACUGAAGCCAAUGACCCUGUCAUGGCUGGAGACAAUGUGGAUCCUGAAGCCAAUGUGAAUGCUGAAGCUUCUGUGACGCCAGUCCUCACUGACAGCAUUGUUCCUCCACCACGGACUCACACCAUGGAAACGACCUUCAACCGUGAAGGGCAGUUGGUCAUAGUUCAUUGGCCAGUUAUGAUUCCACCUACCGCUCCAAGACCACAAUAUGACUAUCAUGUGGAGCGCAAGCCUCAAGUUCACAAGCCAAAGCCGCGUCUGCCAAGGCUUCCAAGUGCUGUCACUACACAUGGCUCAUUCAGCGUGCUCAGCUUCAGAGAAGACAAUACAUUCUUUGACAGUGCCAAGCACCCCUACAAGAAGCCAAGAAUCUCAUCUGAUGGAUUUUGGAGCCACCAACAGCGAAGCUAUUACUCUUGCAUUCUAUACAAUCAAGACCGGAUUUUUCCACACAUGCGUCCGGAUUGUGAUGCUAUGGCUGGGCUGCCGUGUCUGGAAGAAGCCCUUGACUGCUUCAGGGGUGUUGGUCUUCUGGCAUUUGUUACUGAUAAAGAGCACUAGAAUGAAGAGCUUCUACUGCAGUUCUAUGCCACCUUACAUACUCGAGGCUACAACAGGGAUCCGAAGACAUUGAUCCUUGAGUGGAUGACAGGUGAUGUUCAUCAUGAAGCCAAAGCUCAGGAUAUCAUCGAGCUGACUUCCCUGCCCACUCCAGAUGAGCUGUGUGAACCUGGUUGUUCGCUUUAUUAGAAUGAACUACAUAGCAUAUUUCAGAAGCCUGAGCCAACCAUGAGCCAAAUGCUUAGCAUGAUGAAGCCUUUGCCUCAAGACGUUGAAUAUCCAAAGGAAUUCUUUGUUAAGGACCUCGAGUAUCUGCCACGCAUAGUAUAUAACAUUCUGAGGCAUACUCUUUGGCCCAUCAAAGGCCACUCUUCUGAAGCCAAACUUGAAGGAUCCAUGAAGACUUUGGUGCUCUAUAUUGUCAAUGGCAUCAAAUUCAACACUCGGGAUUUUUUUCAUCAGACAACUUGCUGCUUCCGAGAUUGAUUUGUUUGGUCUGAAGUUUUAUGCUCCAUGGGUAAUGUGGUUGAUUAAGCUUCAUUCAACUAUUGACUAUCGGCCCUCAGCACACAAUCAUAUUGUCUUCUUGCCUGAGGUUGAUAUGUCUGUUGAAGCCAUCUACCCUGAGCCUGCCAAGAAGCCCCUCCAUCUUCAGAAUGUUGAGUUCCAGAGCUUCGCACAACCCAUUGAAGGUGUUCAUUGUCGGAUUACGGGUUCCGCAAACCCUUGAGAGGUUCGAACUCAGGGGUGCGUGCGGAGAUCUCAACCUGCCCAGCCUGCCUACUCGCAAGUCUCCUAAGCCUAACGCGACGAACUCGAGGGGACAGAGAGACACAUCAGAUACUGGUUCGGGCCACCAUUGUGGUGUAAUACCCUAAUCCAAUGUGGUGUGGUGGAUAGCCUUGUAGGUUGAGGAUGAACUAGUACAGUGGAUGAACUGGCCUCCGGAGGAGAGGUGUUCUUGAGCUCAAGAGAGCUAGUGAGGUGGUCCGGCCAGAAUGGAUCUGAUCCCUUCUAUGGUGGUGGCUAAGUACUAUUUAUAGUGGCCUUGGUCCUCUUCCCAAAUGUUGGAGGGAAGGAAUCCCACAACGGCCGUACUUGAAAGGGGACAAGCAGUACAGCUUAUUCUGACAAAAGUGGUCUUCGCCUGUGAAAAGCCUCUGUUCGUGACGCUGCGGUGGGCUCGGUGAUGACCUCCGUCCUGCCGUCCUGGCGGUCUUGGUCUUGUUGCACCAGAAUGGAAACGUUUGGCUGAUUCAUCGGGACUCCGUGCCUAUGGCUUGCCUCCUUUGCACCGAAGAGGAAACCUACGCUCUGCGCUCGCCUGGCGCCCGCCUGGCCUUGGUCGUCAUGGCUCGCGUCAGCUGAGCCUCGUGAGGUAAACCUUGCAUAAAACUCUCCGCCCCUCAGGAGCCAGCCUGAGGAGGCCGAUCCCCUCGGGGGUCUUGACGUCGUCCGCCUCGCGAGGCUUGGCCCCUCACGAGGGUCUUGAGUUGCCGAUGCUAAAGCUGGGCCGUACUAGGCCGUCGAUGGAGCUACGUGGUGGGACGCAUGCAGGCAGGGCUAGAUACCCCCAUAUCCAAAACGCCGACAGUAGCCCCCGGGCCCAAGGCGUGCUCGGACUUGUCUUCCAGGCGAAGCCAAAGGAUGGGCAAAUGUGGGCGUAGCAGGUGUGGGCGAGCGCGCGUGGUACGGGAAUGGCGACCACGGUGCGCAUGGCGAGGGACGGCCACGAGCGCUGCGGGCGCGCGCUUGCGGGUGCAGCUCGGAGCAUGAGCUCCAGCGCUUGGCCACAGAGUAGAGGGGAAGCAGCGGGCGCUAACGAUGGUGACGGGGAGCUGCAUGGGGUGGUCGGGGAUGCGGUGAAGUGCAGUCGAGAAGUUCACCGGAGUGCACAUGAGGUGUUCGGGGAAAUGCCAGAGAGAGAAAGGAGGAGGAGGAAGAAGAUUGAUGCUGACAGGUGGGCCCAUCCUGUCAGAAAGGCGUUUAGAAGAGGCGAAUCGAGCACUUUCCCCGACAUGGUAGUUUUUAGUCACAGAUUAGUGAGAAAGUGGUAGUUUUGGGGACAAAAUCGUAAAGUGAUAGUUUGUAGGCACGGUUCCAUGAAAUGUGGUAGUUUUUUGUUAAAUACUCUUAGGAUUCUUAUUCCCCCAAAAUCCAAGAAAAAUCUUAGAGGCAAAAUCUUAUGGAUCAAAGGAACCCUUAGUAAAUUAAAAAAGACAUGUCUCCAUCAUGUACUCCGAAUAGUGUUUUCAUCGUCCUGCAACAAAUGGUGCAUUAUCAUAGAUUUAUUUCAAGAUUUUCGGCGAUGCACGUUAAUGGGAGGAGACGUUUCCGUCAACUAUGAUGCGUCUGUGCCGACUUCAUGAAUCUCAAGAUGAUGUGUCGGCUCAGUCUCUGAAAGGUGCUCAUAGGGGUAAGGUAUGCUUAUAUGUGUGUUUAUAGGGGUGAGUAUACGCACGCGUGUGUAUAUAUAUAAGAGUCUGCAUGUACUGUGUUAAAAACAAAUGGAGCAGGUACGGAAAUAAUGUUGCGAACAUGACAUAGUGUUUAUGCCGCUGAGCAUACAACACCCGUCCUAGGAUGCUGUCUGCACAUAUAUGGUAUAGUUCUUGUCUUCCCAGGAUGCUCGGGAGAUACCGUAGACCUCGGCCUUUCCAGGUCUAACAUUGACUCUUGUUCUUUCUAGCUUGUCUUCCUAAUUGAAGUUGCCUUGCCGUCGCCCGUGCUGACGACUUUUUUGCAUGGAUCGUUGUUCCAGACGGUUAUUAUGGCACCGGAUUAAGUGAUGGUCGUCGAUGAUAAAACCAGAGUAGCUAGCUACUGGAAGAGCGUCGACAACGAUGACGAGACAUGCACACAACCUUCGCACACUUCUUGGCGGCAUAGUGGAAUGUUUUGUUGUGACUUGUGAGCCAGGUCAACCGGUGGUGAUCUCUGGACUAUCAUGUCCUGUGACAGCUUGUGUCAGUUUUUACACAAGUAACUUUCCAACUUUUGUCCAUUUAACCACAAUUGAUUGGAUCAAUAUACCACUUGAGCCAAAGUACCUGCUUCUAUCAGAAUAUGCACAUGUACUCAGUAUAGUGUGUUCCAUCCUCCUGCAACAAAUGGUCCAUGUAUACAAAUAAUGUUACGAACUUGCCAUAGUGUUAUUUUUAUGUCAAUAUUUAAGCAUACAACAAUUGUCUUUGUCCUAGGAAGAAUGUACCACCACCCCCUCUCCCUCCACCCUAAUGUCAUCACUGUGUUAGGUACCAGUUAUCUCUCUCACAAUCUAAGGAAUACAAUCUUCGAGUACACACGAAUUGGAUUACAGGAGGAAAGAGGAACGAGGUAGGGGAAGAACAGGGGUAGGGGAAGGAGGUAGCCACCAGAUGCCGUUUCGCCGUUGAUGCACUGGAUGGGUUUGUCGUUGCUUCCCCUCCAGCUAUUUGUAGCUCCUAGCAGUCUGAUGGUGCCCGGCCAGGCCCAACCCAUGUGAUAUCCAAGAGCCAGCCCAAGUACAUGUAUAGCUAGGAAAGGUCCGUGACAUCCCUCCCUCCUUGAAAUGCGGCUUGACCCCAAGCCGCCGACGCCACCAAGAACCACUCGGAUCCCAUUUCACUCGAUGUUCCUGGCCUUGGUCGGAGUCUGGGUAGACUUCAAUGAGGGUGAAGUAAUUGUUGUGGCUAAAUGAAAACCAGUCGAAGGUGUCGAGGGCGUAGCCAUUGUCAGUACAGUCGUGGACGAAACCGAGGUAGUACUCUUGCUCGGCACAGCUUGCGCGAUGACAGCAACAACAAUGAUGAUGCCCCUCCCUCCUUGAGGAACCGCUCGCCGAGUGAAUUCUAGUAACAGCAACAAUGCAAGCUCUCCAGGAUCCCAAGACGUGCCCAGUUGGUUGAUGCUCACGUCAGACCCCAACUUCGAACUGCUGCUGGAACUAGGCAAGCCAUGGAAAAUCUUGUUGAUUUGUUGUUGCACUUGCACCAAGGUCGCAACCCAGCUACAGAACAUCACUGUUUUCUGGCCAGGGAAGAUUGCACACAACAUAGGAUCAGCAACACCUGGCUCUGAUACCAGAUGUUAGCGUCCAACUCGGUCUAGCCCACACUCUACUUACGUUCUGGACGAUUAUGCGCACAUGAGCCAACAUUCAGCAAAGAUCCCACUCCAUUCCAAAAGCCCGGACUGAAAGGAGGAAGUAAUCUCUCCCUUAUAAGCUGGUCAUGGCCUCCUCCCGUAAGCGAGGUGGGACUAAACCGAGCCAGCCUCACCGGCCUACAGUAGCCCUAACAUCCCAUCCCCCUGAGAAGCCCCUCAGGAAGGCAUGGCGAUGCUGACUCUGAUACCAGAUGUUAGGUAUCAGUUAUCUCUCUCACAAUCUAAGGGAUACAAUCUUCGAGUACACACGAAUUGAAUUACAGGAGGGAAGAGGAACGAGGUAGGGGAAGGAGGUAGCCGUUGGAUGCCGUUUCGCCGUUGAUCCAGCUAUUUGUAGCUCCUACCAGUCUGAUGGUGCCCGGCCAGGCCCAGCCCAUGUGAUAUCCAAGAGCCAACCCAAGUACCUGUAUAACUAGGGAAGGUCCGUGACACACUGAAUGAUUCCACUGACCUAAGCUUGCACACUAAACUAGAGGCAAAAGGGGUUCCUCGCAACAAUUUCCUCCAAGGUUCGGGGUAGGGGUGGACUAACGAGCAACUCGGCUCGUUAAGCUCGUACUCAUUAAGCUCGUGCUCGUUAAGGCUCGGCUCGUUAAGCUCGUUAAGAUUAACGAGCAGAAAACCCUGCUCGACUCGGCUCGUUUGAAGCUCGUUAAGCUCGUGAGCGCUCGUUAACAGAUUAUAAUGUGUUACGAUAUACAUGAUAAAUGUGUAGGUGUGGUUUUCAAGACGAAAUAUGAUGACUAUAAAAAGAAAUGCAGUAGUUUGUUGCCUCAUAUGUCGAUUAGAUUGAAUAUAUGGGCUGAGGUGCUACAAAAGUUUGUCACGUAAGAUGAAAAUAUGUGUUGUGUUGUUACUAACGAGCUUAACGAGCUACUCGUGAGACUCGUUAGCUCGCUCGUUAAGCUUAACGAGCUGAAAUCAAUGAUUGGCUCUGUUCAUUAAGAAGCGAGCUACGAGCUUAACGAGCCGAACUAUCGAGCGCUCAUUAAGCUCGCGAGUUACGAGCUUUUGGUCCCGCCCUAGUUCGGGGUAUGGUCUCCCUCAUCGACAACAGCACCUUCGGUGGUGGAGAGCAGGCGGUGCCCGAGACAUGGCUCUCGUGCGGCUUUUUGUUACAAUUACAACUAUGUGGAUGCACUUGAAUGGCGGAUAAGAGGGACAUGAACAUGAUAGAUGCUCCCUUUCACUGACAACGCAUACGGCUAUCACUUCAGUUCGAGCUUAUCUAGACAAUCGAUCAAUAGUGCUUUGUUUCGUUGACUAUGUUUGUGAUGUGCGCACGCACGCCAUGUCGUGGAGGACAGAUCUGGUGAUCACACCCCAGAUAUUGCGUAACAGCAAACAUGCUUAAGCCACGCCCAGGGCAUCAUUUGGUCGGGACUGAACACGAGACUUCUUUCGCCUGUCUCAAAUACUAUUUCAGUCAAACAACUUGGUUCCCACGUAACUGGAUGUUAAUCCCGCGCUGCGGCGCACGGAGGCCGCCACGCCGUCGUAAGAACGCGACCUGCUGAUCUGACAUUUCUAUGCGAGAUGCGUCGUCUGAACUGGUCGUGGCCGUCGAUCGGGUCCUCUUUGUGCCGGUAAGUAUAUAGAAUUGCUGCGGCUGCAGCUUUUGAGGGCGGCUCUCGGUGGUUGCUUUGCUAGGUUCAGUGUACCUCGCCUUUCUUUGCUCCGGCCCAUCUGAGGAGCACGUGCGAUGUUUGUUAUAGCAUGGUUGUAUUAUGGAGGCGAUCGUUGUCGCGGACAAUAUUACGGCUCGGCCUUGGCGGCGCCGACAUAUCACUUCCCAAUGAGAAAGCAAGUGGCAAACAGAGUGUACGCACGGGCUUUAUUACAAAAAAAUUUAGAACAACGGGCUUUAUUACAUGAGAUGUCAAAGUUCACGAAGUUCACACGGGCUUAAAGCUAACUCCAAUGAGCCGACAUAUUUCUUCCGCUCACGUUCGUUUGGGUCCGUGCGAAAAAACCCGGCGCCUGAUCCACAUAAACGGACGACGUCCAUUUUCAUGUUUGCUUCGAUCUAUUUCCAACCCAACUUGUGUUUGAGUUUACAUUCAUGCGGACACGUCUCGGACGUCCGUAGCAUCAUUCCCUGGUCCGCGUGUUGAUGGCACAUAGGCCAUUCCAUCCCCUCCUAAAACGAGCUCGGCCUGCCGGCCCUAGUCACCCUCGUCACCGCCACCCAACUCCAGGCCUCUUCCCACCUUUGGGCGCCAGGGGCGAAUCUACUGGGGGGCUUUAACAGGCUCGAGCCCCCUCCCCCCCUUCAGGGAUGCAAAUUUUUUUCCUAUUAGUAUUAGGCUCAGCCCAGGCAUUCAGUGGCAGCCCAUCAAGCUCAUACAGUCACAAUCAUGUCUAUACUCGUUCAGAAUCCUUCGUUCGUUAAGUUUAAGCCUGCCCACCGUUUUGUCCCAAGAUUCGCCACUAUCUGGCGCCCCCAUCGAGCCGCCAUCGUUGCAUCCACAGUUGCCCCCACCGUCAUGGUGGUUCCGCUUCUCGCCGCCGAUGGUGUAGCUCACGGCCCGCAUUGUACCCAGGGUCAUCGCCGCCCUUCGCGCAGUCACCGCCGGAGGACGUGGGCCAUGCGCUUGGGUUGAACAGUAACAGAGAAAACAGCCAUGUCCUACUCUUUAACAAUUAUUUUCAUCGGACAAAACCACUAUUCCUUGCCAAGCUUUUUCGGCGAUGCUUUUGGAAGGGGAGACCAUUGUUCAACUAUAUUUAGCAGGGAGUGAUGGGUUAUGAUGAUUACUUCACUUGCAAGUAUGAUGCCAUUGGAAAGGUUGGCUUCACCUCUUAUCAAAAAUGCAUUGCGGUUAUUUGGAUGCUUUCAUACAAAGUUCCCGGUGAUCUAGUUGGUCACGGCCAGGGCGGGUGGCAGCUUCCUCGUCGCCGGCAGGGCGGGCGCGUGUGGGGCAGCCGGGUGCAACAAAGCAGACACAUCCUCCUCGACGUCCACAACCACCGGGUGCAACAGAGCGGGGGGUGGGGGUAUAUUUGGCGGACUUGAUAAUUUUGGUGAAAUUGGAGGUGGGUUGGUCUAUCUGGUUCGACCUGGCGGACGCGUCCGAGUCUUUCUAUAUUUGUCUCAAAUAUGAACUAAUAUGAGACGUAUAUGGCCGGUGUCAAAGAGCACGGCUGGAUCUUGAUUUUUUGAUUGAUCGCUAAUCAGAGCGUCCGCACAGAUAUAUAUAUAUGGGAGCCGGGGUGUAGAUGCUUCUGCGCAAGUUUGAAUAGUGAGAGCAACUUCAACGGGCCGACCCAAAUGCAUGGCGCAUUUGUCCGGCUUAUGUCCGUUUUGGUCGGCCGCCCGCCCGGCAUUCGUCCUGUUUUUCAUUUGGAUCGGCAGUGUGUCCAAUGCGCCGACCCAUUUUCAUGUCCGCACUCAAAUUUUAAAAAAGGCCCACGGCCAUAGAUCAUGCCAGCGAUCAUGUCUCAUGCCGACACCAUGCCAGCUCCGGCAUACAUUGCUGGCUUCAAAAAUACACCACACAGUUCAUGCUGGCGCACUCGCCAGCGGCCGGCACACAUGCCAGCACACAAAAAGGGGUGGGACUUGAGUUGGACCACGUCAUCACGGCCCCGUGGUCAUGCCAGCGCACAAGCCGACAUACAAAAAAGAAGGCGCUCGCGGUCACGAGAUCACUCGUCGGUGAACUUAAGCAUGUCGGCUUGCAUUUUCUCGAACCAUGGUCUCUUCCUUGGCGACACGGUGUUGUGAUCCACCUUCAUGAUCUCCACCCCGGUCAUCAUGCUUGCGAGAGCCACUUCUUUGGCCUUGGUCUUGGCGUUGGUGGCCUCGAUCUCGAGCAUCUUCGCUUGCUUCUCCGCCUCCAACUCAAGCAUCUUGGCUUGCUUCUCCACGUCCAUCUCUAGCCUCCUCCUUUGGAUCUCCAUGAAGGCGUUCAUUUGCUCCUCUUUGAAACACCGGCGCUCCUCCUCUCUUGAGUCCUUCUUGUUCAUCAUGCCCUCCACGCUUGCGAUCAAGGCGUCCGAUGCCGCAUCCAGCUUGUCCUCCUUCUUGGAGUUGGUCUUCCCCCGUGGCCGAGCCGGCUCGCCGUCCCCAACCUCCUCCACGGCUUCCUUUCCCCCGCGCGACUUGAGGUCGGCAUAUUGCGGCUUGAACUUCUCCUCAUCUUUGAUGACCCUAUACACUACUAGGAAAAGGGCUGUUAGUGGCGCACCUGUUUUUGCUAUUAAUGGCGCACUACAGGUGCGCCACUAUUAACACGCCACUAGUAACAAAUAGUAACAGCGCACCUCUGAUGCGCCACUAGUAUCCCAGAUAAUAGUGGCGCACCACACAGUGCGCCAUUACUAUGUCCACAAGUGUGCCAUUACUAUGCCUCCCAGGGGGCCAUAUUUACCUUGUGCUCUGGGUUACUAAUGGCGCACUUUGAUAUAAUGCGCCACUGGUGUGUUUAUUUCAGUGCGUCACUAAAGUGCAACACGGUGCGCCACUACUAUGAAUAUUACGAUUUUUUUCUGAUAUUUGCACAGGUUACAAAAUACAUUACUGCAUAGAAUAUAGAUAGCACAACAUAUAAACAGUAGAUUUAUCGAAUACAAUAGAAAAUUAGUCUCCGAAUACAAUUCAUCAUAUUAAUCUCCGAAUUCAAAAUACCGAACAAAGUUAGAACAUUACAAGUCUCGAGACCGCGAGUAGCGAGUUUGUCUUCACAUUACAAGUCGAUAUCGAUCAUCUAAACUACCAUCACAUAGAAGAGAGUUGCGGUCAUCACGAUGAGCGUCAUCGCGAUGAAACUGGUCUUCAUUCGGUUCCUCCAACGCUCCUUCCUCUCUCUCGCUAGAUAGCGCGCGUAUCUAACUUCCGCCUCCGCCCUAGUGGUGUACCCUUUGUAACUAUUACUGCUGAAACGGGGAACCUGUCUCCGACACUCCUCCCAGUCGUCGUAGACUCCGGAAACCUUACCCUUGUACACGACAUACGAUGGCAUCUCUAUGCACUAGACAAACAAAACGUUAGUAGCAAUUCACAGACAAUACAUAAGCAAUAUAUAAGUAUGCAACAAAAGGAUUGGAAGAGAAAAUCAACACAUUAAUAGCACGAUUCAUGGUCCUACUAAUAAAUAGCAUCGAUUACAUAUAAGUUGAACGACUGUCCAAACUAAAGAGACAAACAAGUUCAUUAAAAUUUAAUUACAACAUGAGCUAAUUGAUAUUUCAGAACUACAUAGCAUCACUACUUUCGACUUGACUCAGGGACCGGAGCGUGGAUGAAGCCGCCGUCUAUCGUGAUGGUCAUGAAAUCGUGGUCGCUAUCAGCCUGCAUUUUUAGCGUUGUUUCUAUCUCACUGUUGGACGGUUGAUAUCUGAGGUAGAACUGCCCCGAGGUACGAAGGACAUCUUGAUGGAUGAUUUCCUCAAACUCCGACUGGAUACGAAAGAAUUCUUGUCUGAUGUCCGUGUCCUGGAUUGCCGACAAGCGUGCGGCCCAAUCUUUGAGAUUAUUUGGUAGCAGAAGGUAAUUAUGGUGCCGUACGAUCGCCCACAUGUGAUGGAGGGCAUAGUAGGCAUCCUUCUGACCGUCAGGCGGCUGCUUGACGCAGGGGAACAUCGUAUUGUGGGUGAACAUGUGCUUGCCGUACCUACGAAUUGGCCUGCUGAAGGUGCCUCCAGAUCUGGCGUAGCCGGUAAGAACUUCAUCAAGAACUUUCUUGAUAUUUGUGUAGUCUUUCUUCGAUUGGCGGUCCGAGUCGAAAUACGUGGCCAUGGAAUAUUUCGGCUUAAGAGGAUGAGUGUGCAAUGUGUGUCACUGCACAAAACACGGAAUGUUAGAAAAAAAAGAACGAUCAAAUCUAAGAAAUCAUAUGUUAUGGGGCGGUGAGGGGAUGACUUACUCGGGAAAGUAAGGCACGAGGAAUUUAUCCUUAUCUGGGUUUGCCAGAAUGACGCCUUCAAGGUAUGAACUCGUGACUUGCCGGUCCCCAGCGAUGCCCAAGAUCUUGGCACGCAUGUAGAAGGGAUCGACUAUAACGAUGUUCGAGGUCUUGUCUCUAACGAUCGGCAUCUCCAUACUCAGCGAAAAUAGCCGAAUGAAGGUGUAGUGCAGCGGAUGAAGGUUAAACAUAGCAAAGAUGUCAUCAAACCGCAGGACGAUCAUACCCCCGAUGGUGCUAUCGACAAAGCCCUUGCACUCUGGCACCUUGGCCAUGAAAACCGGGUAUGCCACAUCAUUCUCGGAGAGAUGCCGCUUCUCCAAAGAAAGAACACUGUCAUGCAGACUCCGCAUAGCACCGGUUGAAGCAUUGAGGAGAAUAGUCGGUAGCAUCGGCCUACCCGCCACAUGCACCCUCCUCGAGAUAUCCUUAGGUGAAGGUGGCCCGUCCUGAGCACGGAUCGUACUCGGUGUCGGCUGGCUCACACCCUUGUUAGUCUUUCUUUUCCGUCCCUUCUUCUUCUGCUGCUGUAAUGGGAUCGAGUUCUGCUCAGAGACCACCUUCUUGAGUGUGUUGGGGCUGAUAAUAUUUCGCACCUCGGCUAUCUGAGACUCGGUGAAGGCGGCAGCUGGAGGCGUCUCCUGAGAACUGAACACCAGACAACGACUGUUGCAAUUGGAUUUCUCCUCGGUACCAGCUAGAUCGCGAUCAUCUUUUGCAGGGUUGUGUUCUUGAGAAGGAGGCCCCAAGAAUUCAUCACCGUACCCAUGUUCGUUCAAGUACUUAUCGACGUUGGUAAAUGUACCAUCGUCGUCGUCAUCGUCCGGAUCAUGUGCCAUAUGCAUGUCCGGAUCCUGUGCCAUAUGCAUGUCCGGCAUGUCUGGUAGCGUUGCGACGGUCUUGCCAUGGCUUGGCGCCGGCAUGACUGGUGGUGUUGUCUGUGGGGUGGUGUCCCCCGCCCCCAAACGAAUCUGGCUCUUCGGACAAAGCAGGGGCCAGCUUAAGCAGGCAUUGAGGGUCAUCACAUCAUCUUCGUUGGCCCCAGCGGGUUGAAACAGAGGUAACAAGUCAUCGCAGCCUGGCAGCACCCGAACUAGUUGAAUCCUAUACACGGUGGGUGGCAUCGGAUUACCGUGGAACACGGGGUUACCCGGUUGAACGAUUUUUCCCUUGGCGACAUCGAUCAACUUGCCGCCCACGAAGUGCAUGAGAGUGCAUGGAACAUCGGCGGCGCCCUACAAAAACAUGUAGGGCGUCAGGGAUGCCCAAUCAAAGGCAAGGAGAUGAAGUCAUCGGCCGAGAGGCUUAGUUACCGUGAUAGCGUCGAGCCCGGCUAAUGUCGAGGCACCGCCAACGGCGGGCGUGCAAGUGACGGAGGGGCUGCUUGCUGCCGAGGUGCCAGCCGGCGUAUUCUUCGCACAUCCGGGUGCAUUAAGCUCCAAUGCCCGCACCGGCGCCGGAGACACCAAUACCGCCUCCGCCGGAGACACCAAUGGUGCCGCCUGCGCGUUGUGCGAGUUGCUGGCCGUGAAGCUGGGAAUCGGGGGCGGCCCCUAUUGGCCGCCUGCAAUCCACGCCUGCAGCCCCUCAAUAUAGGUAGGCACAAUGGUGGUGAUUGUCGCUCCCAGUUGGUCUCGCAUUUGCUCUUGGACCAUCUCUAGAAUCCGCGCCACUUGUGCCUUGAGUUCUUGAACCUCACGCGACUGGCUUUCCGAGCUGGUCUUUCUCUCCUUUCGUCCAACGUUAUAGUAUUCCGACCAUUUUGUGGACAAGCCUUUGCCGGCCACACGACCAGCUGACGACCGCUUACUGAACUUAUCCUUGAGUUUCAUUAUGUUCAACGCUUUAUUUAAAGUGGUGUCCCAAGGGGAGCUCUGAGAUGACCCCGCGCUACUGCUUUCAGUGUCCUGCGGAAGGAACAUGAACCAUUUAGAAAUUUGGCUUCAUUAAUUAAAAUGCAACCAUAUGGAGCUAAUUACGCGGGGGUGUAUUCCUUACCAGAACAAGCUCAAGUGCCUUGGUCUUCGGAUCCGUGGUAAGCUCCUUUGUUACCGGGUCCACCUUGUAUCGGGCCCUGACAUAGUUCCUGGUCUGCUUGUCACGGUAUUUAUCGAAGAGGGGCGGUAGGCCUUGCUCGGCACGCUCCGCGUCCUCCUUGUCCCAUAUAGGUUCCGGCACUCUGUAACCGCCGGGACCGAGUUUGUGGACCCCUAAGUUCAAGUCCCGCAUUUAUUUCCCCCACUGACUUGAUUCCGCGGAUGGCUUGCUCCUGCACUUGAUCUUGAACUCCCGGUAGUUAGCUUCGCUGAUCGAAGGAUUUUUCUCCUUGAUCUUCUCAUAACUAUCACCACGUAGAAUCCUAUGCCUCACUGCGGCUCUCCAAGUAGACAGGGUCGUGCUCAUCUUCGUGAGGGCGGCAUUGUUCACUGUAUUCCCUGAGAGGCGUGUGUUUGCGACAUCACCGGGGAACUUGUAUCGUUCGUGCAGCUUCGUGAAGAGGAGGUUGCGCAAAUUCCCUCGGUCACGAUGCCUUAGGUUCUCGGUGUUGAUCGAGAUGGUGCUCCGGAGAAUGCACCCGAGUUGUCCCGUGUACCCACUAACUAAUUCUUCGGGCGCCGUUGGAUACCCAUAGGAGGACACUUCAGUAAAUUCCUCCUUGAGGCUGCCGAGCAUGUUCGGGCGCCGGUCCUUCCGUUGCCUCUUCGGUUGGCUGCGAUCUGUGCGUGCGCUGCCAUCAUCAGUGGUGGCAUCCUCGACAGCACCAUCAGUGGUGUCAUCCCCAACGCCACUAGGGGUUGUGUAGUCGGGGUCGGUGUCUUCCGUGGCGUCCUCAUAGUGGUGAGGUUCUUCCUCCAUCUCCUGGGACAGCUCCCAGAAUGCCUUGCCCGAACCGCCGGCCUCAUCGUUGUGGGCCAUGUUUGCUCUAAAUAGGAAAAAAGUUUUGUCCAAAAGUUGGUUAUUAUCAAGGAACAAGAUCUCUAAGUUGACCAAAUAACCUAAUUCUCGAGGAAUGUCGCCAAAAAGUUGGUUAUUAUCAAGGAACAAUUGAGAGAUGUUUGUGAUAUUGCCUAGGUGUUUUGGGAUGGAACCUGUUAGUGUGUUAUUGCUAAGGUCCAAGUCCCUUCCUAACCCCCUUCUUCUUGUCUCCUCUCACUAUCUCUCUCACACACAUGGCAAGCAAGGGUGUCUGAAUGUGUGAAAAAAUUACUAAACUAAUCCCAGGGCUGAAAAUUGAUCAUCUGUUUCAGAUUGCAGUUUUCUUUCUUGGGGCUUCGGUGUGCGGUACAAAACUGAAUUUUGGACAUCUACAGAAAUUAUUAGGAAUUGUCUUAGUCAAGAAGUGGUAGCAAAUGGCUGAAAUGUAUCAGGUCCUACUCUAGUUUACUCUAGUUUAGGUUGUAGUAAAAAUGCACUACUAUGGAGUAUCAGGUCCCUAGCAAAAAUGCACUAUAGAGCAAGCAAUAAUGCUACUCCAAUUUUCACAGAUUAUAGCAAUACUGACUGCAAGCAAUUGCAAAAUUACAGAGAACCGAAAUUGCAAAAUUCAGUACUCCAUAACAUUACUGAAAUUUUACUGUGCUUGGAACUAUACUGAAACUUUACUCCAUGUAUAUAUGAUCAUUUUUAUUUGAAAAGUUUCAUUUAAUUUUGUGUGGAGUAGUUUUAAUUAAAUAAAGUUUUUAACUGCUUGAGAUGAGAGAAAUGAGAAGAAGAGAGAAGGGCUACUGCUUGCAAGCACAGCUGCUUGCAAGUCCUACAGUAAAUGGUUUCAGUUAAACAUCUAUUACUUAUUCCAUAAGAACAGCAAAUCAACUGCAUCUGUCCUACAAUGAGCCUGAUUUUCUUUGGCACGGUGAGCCAAUUUCAUUCAUUUGCAUCUUCUUUAAAAAAAUGCAGUUGGAAGAUCACCCGCUGUGUUGCCUAAAAAAGUCAUGCUAAAUACACAUACAUGUAGUUUAUCGAGUGAUGAAAAAAAAACAGUUGAUCCUACUUAAUUAAGUACUAAGAUAUCCCGGCCCAUGCAUUAGUCACAAGUACCGCAUAUGUCCUAUUUUUAGCAAAGUCAUGCUAAAAUUCACGGAAAAUUUCAGUAUGACUGUCGGUGUCAAAACCGGCGGAUCUCGGGUAGGGGGUCUCGAACUAUGCGUCUAGGCGGAUGGUAACAGGAGACAAGGGACACGAUGUUUUACCCAGGUUCGGGCCCUCUCGAUGGAGGUAAAACCCUACGUCCUGCUUGAUUAAUAUUGAUGAUAUGGGUAGUACAAGAGUAGAUCUACCACGAGAUCGUAGAGGCUAAACCCUAAAAGCUAGCCUAUGGUAUGAUUGUUGUUGUAUAUCUCUAUCGACUAGCCUGGCCUCGGUUUAUAUAAUGCACCAGAGGCCUAGGAUAACAAGAGUCCUAGCCAAAUACGCCGGUGGGGGAGGAGUCCUUGUCUUGAUCGCCAAGUCUUGUGGAACCUUCCUUGUAUGCGGCAACUGUCCGGACUGGCCCAUGAGUAUACGGCCAUGGGGAUCCUCGGCCCAAUCCAACUGAUCGGGAGACGACGUGGUGAGUACCCCCUAGUCCAGGACACCGUUAGUAGCCCCCUGAACCAGUCUUCAAGUUGGGAACGCUCCUCGAUUCUUCCGAACUGUUCUUCAUCUUCGGUCGUUGGUCUUGAAAACUGGUUCAACAAAUCUUCUCAUCUUCGAUCUUGAGGAUCGCCGAAAUGCAUUCGACGAGUUUACACGUCGGGUAUCCGAGGAGCCCCUUUAAGUUUUUGGCCUUUAUCAAUGCCUUGUUAUUUUUAUGCCACACCUCGGGUUUGAAGUUGUUCCCGGGCGGCAACGUCCUCUUGCGUCCGAGCUCCAACGCCGGACUGCAUUCGAGGUAUCUUUUGCAGCCGAGCACCAAUGCCGGACUGCUUCCCAGCUCUAACGCCGGACUAUGUAUCCGAGCUCCAACGCCGGACGGUAUCCGAGCUCCAACGCCGGACUGUAUCCGAGCUCCAACGCCGGACUAUGUAUCCGAGCUCCAACGCCGGACUGUAUCCGAGGUGUCGUAAAUCACCUUGGUUUAAAGAAGUUUGAAGGAGUUUAGCCGAGCUUAAUGCCGGAAGUGCCCUCUAUGGAGCCAGCCACUAGCGCCCGAGCUUUACGCCGGACUGCUUCUGAGGUGGUGCACCACCCCGAAUGUGGGCCGAUUUUUGUCAAUAUUUUUGAUUGGUGCCAGUAGCCCUCAAGGUGGGUAUCGGUCUAAAACCCGAGAUGCACAUGAAGGAUGACAUAAGACCGCUGAUCCCCGUAGCCGCUGAGACUCAUGUUGAUUUGCAAAAUCGGUCUGAGGAUCAAGUCCUAGCUCGGCAGAAUACUUCGGGACACAAAAAGCGGCGUGCUCAGUCCUCGAGACUCAGGUUGGGUGCGGCCGACCAACCUGAGGAUCAAAAUCUCCUCGGAAACUGUAUUGCACUUAAAAUUUUCUGCAUAGAGCAGGCAAUGCAGUAGCCCCCGAGACACUGGUCGGGUGGCAACACCAGAUCAGGGGAUUGAUGUGCCCCUUUAAUAUUUGUAAAUAAUAAGCCCGAAGCCCAGUAGCCCCCGAGCCUUAAUGCGGGCACGGGAGGCCGAAUUAAGGAUCGAUAUCCAUAGUAAAAUCACAAAUUAUGUGUAAUGACUCUAUGUAUCCAAGUACUUUACGUCAUUAAUGCUCGGAUCCGCAUUGUACAAAACUUUGUUGACCGACCAUCGGCUUCCACCUCCUCGGCCAAUAGCCGAGGAGUGUUUGUCCUACUUUAUAAAGCCUUUAUGAGGGUAAAGAUUGACAACAAACAAGGCAAUCUGGCCAUACGGUUUUAUAAACAAAGGUACGCGGAGAGAUAUGUUAUAUUACUGUUUAACAGAAGAAAUGUCUUCCAAAGAAAAUAGUCCCGCUAUCGGUUCCUUUCUUUGGGCUAUCAUGCUAAGCAUGAUCAUGAAACCUCAGCUCUAAUGUAAGAGCAAAAUAUUGAGGAUUUAAUUUGGGGUGCCAGUUACUAGCCCCCGGUAGUGUUCGGCGACAGUCGAGGUCAAGCCGGAAACACUUCGGCCAAUGUUAUGAAUGGCCCGUCAUUUAAUAUAGUCAUCAGAUCGCUGACCAGUUUACACCUAUUGUGACAGUCAGUGUUCGGCUUUCUCCACUGAGGUGCUUGACCAUGUGAGCUGGAAGCACAAUCGCAGUGGUUCUCCCUUUGCACACCUAGCCGAACAAAGCGGAACGUAGGAGGCAAGCGCGGGAGCCGGGCAACCCAACUAUUGACCGAAGACACAAUUCGAAGCUGAUGCAUAUAUAGCAAUAUCCGAGAAUAUUUUUGCCGAAUCUCUAAAGGUGUCCGGCGUUGCACUGCGAGACUUGUGCUGAAAACACACAAAUAGUUUAAAAGUGCCAUGGGCUCGAAAAGCCAAAAAGGUUAAUUUCCGAACUAGAUCAAGUGUUCGGUGCCAAUCCGAAAAUUGGACUUAGAAAAAAAAGUGCUUCUGCCGUGCUUUAACUUUGCGACGACUAAGAAGAAAAACACUUAGUAUGAAACGGCUCAAAUAAACAUAAGAGCCCCCAAGCGACUUGGGUAAAAGUUGACUAUAAAAUGUAAGGUGACAUGUAGAAUGUCUUCUAGACGGAUUGUAGAUCGUUUGUCGUAGCGGACCUUUUCGCUUCAACCUCUGGACCCAAUAGUCCGGAGUGUGUCCGAAUACCCUCGCGGUUAUAAAAACCGGGGCAUGCGUGGAGACCAGGCGUAGGGGUCAUUAGUGCUUUAUCAGACAAGUGCCCAACUAGUUAUGUUAUAUUACAUGGUUAGUAAGAAACAUCUUCCAGGGAGAAUAGUUCCGUUAGGGGUUCCUUUCCCUGGGAGGCAUUGCCCUAAAGUGCAUGUCCGGACUGCAAAAAGAGCAGAAAAACAUCUGGGGGCGGGUAAAUAAAUAGGUAAGAAAUCAUCUUUUAGUUCACCGACCGAGUAUUCCCUUAAGAACGCUAACUUUCGGCUUCACCCAGUCUAAGGUACACAUCCGGCUGACCCGGCAGUAACAAUCACAGAGGUGCUCCCUUUACCACCUAGCCGAACAAUCGGGAACGUAGGGGUAAGCAUAGGAGCCAGGCAACCCAGCUUGGCCAAAACUUAAGUCAUAUCGAUGCAUAUAAUGGUGAAUAAAAGGUACAUGCGGAAGUGUGACACAUGUGUUGGGCAUAAAGCCCGAAUUAAUAAGCUUCUGUUAAAGAAGCCCCCAGGUAUAAUGAGAGCGGGUAGCGCGUCAAGUAUGUGCAAACAAAGUUUGGACAAGGAAAAAUUUUACAAGCGACUUUUUUUACAAAAAAGUAUAAUGCUUGGUCGAACCGAACACAAGUUAGAAAUUUAAAACUUUGAGCAUGAAGGCAACUUAGCUGGUUAAUGUGUUCGGUAUUGAUGACGCGGUCCGAGCUUGAUGUGGGACAAGUGUCCAUCCCUCAAGCCGGUCCCGAGGUGGCGGAGCAAAGAGCUCGGCACUCCGAAGUGGUGACAUAGCACGGUCAAUGCAGGACGGCAGAGUGAUGCCGAAGUCCCUAGCAUGGGGUAAUGAAGUGUUGACGAAGCCCCCCGUCCAGCCGAGGUGACGUCAAAGGAUAUAGUCCGGCUGGAUCAUUUUCCUGUGCACAAAAAAUAGUGCAAACCAGAGAUAAUAGUAAUAAUAGGAAUUAAAAAAAUGUUGCAUAAUAAAUAAUUUAUGCAAAGUGAGUAGUAAAAUAAAUAUGGCCUGGCGCCGAAGUCGAUGUCGAUGCAGGUCGUCGGCGUAAUGUAAUAAAGGCGUGGCAAAGCCUGGAUUCACAGGUCGGUCCGAGUUCCGGAUGCAACGUUCGCCGGACUAUGUACAGAAACUGACCGAACCAUCAUGCGACUGUUGAUAAUGCGGCCACCAUUUGAUAGACCUGUGUGCAUAUGAUGGACAAACCAGAGUAAUAAUUCCUUGGGAAAAAUUAACCCAAACAAGCAAAAAGAAAUAUUAGGAUUAAUAGCACCUGGUUUAUUUGUUGUAGCAAUCCGAAGGAAGGUGAUUCCCAAAGUUGGGACUCGAUCCGCGCACCCAUCGCCUGGUCGGCUAGUGACGCCGAAGUGUCCGGAGUAGGUUGAUGAAGAGAUGGCGAAGCCCCUGGUCCAGCCGAGAUGUCGAAUUUAGGUAGGCAUGAUGGACACCAGCUUGAAGAAGCAAUAGUGCGGCCCUGCCGAUGCAGGUCGUGACGUGGUCGAUGCCGGCUUGAUGAAGUGACCGUGCGGCGAUGCAGGUGUGCCCGCUCCGUGUAAUCCGUGGAGUGGCGAUGUUGGUGAUGAUUUAUCCUUCGCGAUGCCGGACUCUUGUCCGGCUUGCCAAGAUAAUGAUCCGAAGAAGUUGAGCUCGGCUCAACAAAGCGACCACGCGUCUAGCGCAUGUCGGCUGUCGUGGAGUGAUGUUGUCGAGCCGGUUUGACACCGGCGCGAUGGUGAAGAUCGUAUUGUAAAAAUACUUUUAAUAUUAAUGGGAUGUGUUUGAGAAUAAAGCACAAUACCCCAUACAAAAACUUCCUUCAAAAAGGAAGUCCGAAAUCCUGUUCAUAAAGAAGAUGAACUCGGGUCGGAUUCGUUCUCGCGCAGGAAACAGAUCCGAAAAGUGAUGCACUAAUCGGAAGUUUCCCGGAGUUUGGACGGUCGGAUCGAGCUGAAUUUUUGGGAGGUGGCAUAUAUGGGAAUUCCGCAGCCGAUCAACGGUUGGAUCUUCCAAAGGACGUCCGAGCUAGAUGCUGGACACCCCGCUCCAAACUCGUCCGGAUUCUCGUCCAGAUUCAACAGGGCUCCGGUAUAUCGGAGAUUGCCGGAGGUUCCUCCAACGGAACUCGACGAAAUUUUCGCAGGGUUGUUGUAGACUUAAUUCCGCAUAAUUCCACUGAAGCAAUCGUUUAGGCGAUACUCGAGGAGGCGGUGGCGGCUGAUACAAGUUUGCUGUCCAGAAAAACAGCACAGUUGCCUGAGGGCAAUGUUGACGUUGAGCCCCCGGGCUCCCUGGAUGAUUCCUUCAUGAUCUUGACAGAGAUCGGAGUUGAUGUUGAUGAAGGCCCUCAUCCGAACAUGACGAUCGGAGGUAGGGCGCGGUCCUUGGUUGAACCAAGAUGACCAGUCGAGCUGGUGACGAAGAUGCCGAAGUUGCAGUUGAUCUGCAGGCGAGCCAUCGACCUUUUGCCGAACACACAGCGGAGCUCUCAAUGAAAGCACCAAUGUCGGUGUCAAAACCGGCGGAUCUCGGGUAGGGGGUCCCGAACUGUGCGUCUAGGCGGAUGGUAACAGAAGGCAAGGGACACGAUGUUUUACCCAGGUUCGGGCCCUCUCGAUGGAGGUAAAACCCUACGUCCUGCUUGAUUAAUAUUGAUGAUAUGGGUAGUACAAGAGUAGAUCUACCACGAGAUCGUAGAGGCUAAACCCUAAAAGCUAGCCUAUGGUAUGAUUGUUGUUGUAUAUCUCUAUCGACUAGCCUGGCCUCGGUUUAUAUAAUGCACCAGAGGCCUAGGAUAACAAGAGUCCUAGCCGAAUACGCCGGUGGGGGAGGAGUCCUUGUCUUGAUCGCCAAGUCUUGUGGAACCUUCCUUGUAUGCGGCAACUGUCCGGACUGGCCCAUGAGUAUACGGCCAUGGGGAUCCUCGGCCCAAUCCAACUGAUCGGGAGACGACGUGGUGAGUACCCCCUAGUCCAGGACACCGUCAAUGACCUUUGCUGAAAAUAGGACAUAUGGAGUACCCGAAUUUGCCGGGACGGAAUUUAAUCGACAUUCUGGCAAACUCAAGGGCCUCUCGGGGUACCUGCAAAAUCAUUAUCCCACCCCUGCCCCGCUGCAACCCCACAGCACCCCCACAAUAUCAUCACGACACGAUAGUCGGAGACAAAACCCAACAAUAUAUCUUCUCGCCAUGGAACCCUACCCUGGUUCUCCUUUCUUCCUCUUUUUUCACUUAAACCUGCAAACAUGUAGGGAAAGCAAUUAAUACAAGGCACAAAAAUCCCGGGUCACACCUUUAGCCUUUCUGUUGGCUCAGACAUGAAGCCAAAAGAGAACAUUUUCAGAUUUCUGCACAGAUACUCUGUAGCUAUCUAGUAUUGCUUUCAGUUUGACAUAAGCAGAAUCACAAACAUAUACUGCUGCCAUGGAGUAUUUAAAUUAGUAUUUCUAUGAAUUCCAUUUGUUUGCAUAUACUUGCCAUCACAAACUUCGGCUGAUGAUAAUUAGUACUUGAGGUCAUCUUCAAGGAGUAUAUAAAUUAUUAUAUGAAAACUUUACAAGGCAAUGUGCUACUUGCUUAAAUCUCUGUCCAAUGCUAUUUACAAGACAAACAACAGGUGGCAAAGCCCAGUGUUAAAAAAAGGCCUCCAUCACAACAUGGAAAAUGCGUUGGCCUGUGAAGAGGUGAAACCACUGGGUAUGUUUGUUGUACAGAAUUUACGCAGCGCCCUGACGAUUAAUUAGUUAAGUUUGCAACUUCAUACUCAUCAUAUACCUGCCUACUUGGGUGCCUACCAAAAACAAACAACAUGAUUUCCAUACUAAGAUAGACUUUCACCAUCACAGAUUCCAAACAGCCUGGCCCUAGCAAGGGAAUGGACUAAAGAAACUGACAAGAAAAUUAAUCAAGCUAGGACACAACAUGGCAAAAUGUAUACUAUAAACAGGGGAUAGUCGACAUAUCUGCAUCUCCAGGCAGUAUCAUUCAACUAUAACACAUCAUCGCCCCUCUAAUAACUCCCAAAAUUCUUAUUCUACAAUAGAUAUUAUCCAGCUUCUACUAAAUGCAAGACCAAAUAGAACCACUUUAUAUUUUUCUUUUUUUACAUCAAAACUAAAACACUAGUCAAAUACAGUAGGAAAUAUAUUGCAUCCAACUAUCAUAGAUGCAGUGCAAGUGUGUAACUACUGACAACUGCUGUUGUGCUCCUUGAGCUCAGCCCUUAUAUUUUGAACAAUCCUAUACAGCUCUGUCUACCUGAAUAGAACAUGACAGCUUUGACCAAACAAUCAACAAGAGGAAAACAAUCAAACAUCUUGAUCAGCAAAUGAAUUAAGACUGAUUUAUUCACACUACUGAACUUUUGCUCUUAUACUUGCUCUUAUAACAUAUAGUCUAGAUAAACAUGACGUAACCAUACAACAAGCAUUUCAGAGGGAUAUCACCAUCUAGAGAAGCUGGGUUGAAGACAUUCAAAGAGGACUACUCAUUCCUAGCUUAUAGGGUUAAGGAGAAACACAAACAUCUCAUCUCCUCUCUGCUUAUAGCUCAUUCCUUCAAGUCUCUGUUCAAUGCUAUUUCUUAAAUCUUUGAAUUGCUCGAGACUAGCAGAGGGGUAGCUGCCCUAGGCCUCAAUUGUGACCACUAAACAAUGCUAGAGCAGAGAUUAAAUUAGCACUCUACUAACACUGCAGAAAACAUAGGAGCACUGCUAUGGUAGUUGCUAACUUGCUAUGGCAGUUGCUGACCAAAAUUAGCAAUUUUUUGAACCUAAUUUGACCUAAAUUCGAGAGGGAUUUGACCUAAACCUAGCAAAAGAGAGAAGAAGAGAGCAUGGCCGGGAGGGAGGAGAGGAGGAAGAGAGGAGAAGAGAGGCAGAGGGAGGAGGGCAAUGAAGAUUACCUGACCACGAUGAGGUGGUGGCCGGAGCGGAGACGACGAAGGGCGGAGACGGCGAGCUUGGGGGAGGCGAGGAUAGACGGCGGGGAGGUCACGAGGUGCUCGGGCCUCCUCUCCUGGUGGACGCUGGCCUCCUCCUCCUAGUGCUCCGGCGGUGACUCCGGCGGCGGGGGCGCGGGGGCGGCGGCGCACGUAGGGGCGGCGGCGCAAUGGGUCGGGGCAGCGGCGCGCAGUGGGUCGGGGCUGAGAGAGAUGUGAGAUUGGGGAUCGGGGAUUGGGGAUUUUAGUGGGGGGGGGGGGUUAGCAAUGGCGCACCUCCUAGUGGGGCGCCAUUAGUAACUUUUUUUUGGAUAGCAAUGGUGCACCUCCUAGCGGUGCGCCAUUAGUAACUUUUUUUUGAUAGCAAUGGUGCACCUCCUAGCGGUGCGCCAUUAGUAACUCUUUUUUUUAGAUUUUUAGUUGCAUUCAUUUGUGAAUUGGUAAAAAAUUUAUGAAUAUGGUAAAAUAUCAUCAAAUUUGAAAAAAUAUUCAUGAAAUCAAAAAGUGCCCAUGAAAUUUAAGCAGGAAAAGGAACACUGAAAAAUAAAAUACAAGAAUAAAUAAAAAUAAAAAUUUGUAUAUCAAUGGCGCACCUCCUUCGGGUGCGCCAUAAAUACCUUCAUAGCAAUGGCGCACCCUCCCCUGGUGUGCCAUUACUAACUGUUUUUUUUGGGAUUUUUAGUUGCAUCUAAUAGUUUCUUGAAAAUGACGAUCAAAUUUGAAAACAUUUAUGAAUGUGGAAAAAUAUCAUCAGAUUUCAAAACAUUUAUGAAAAAUAUGAAUAUGAAAACAUUUAUGAAUAUGAAAAAAUAUCAUCAAAUUUGUUAUUUGAAUUUUUUUUGGAUUUUUAGUUGCAUCUAAUAAUUUUUUAGAAAACAUUUAUGAAUAUGAAAAAAUAUCAUCAGAUUUCGAAAUAUUCAUGAAUUCAAAAAGUGCCGCCCAUUUCCAUAUGUCGAAAUACAAUCGAGAAAUGAAGGCUACAACUUAAAUACAAUCGAUCUUAGCUAGCUAUCUUUUCACAAUCUUCUUGCCCUUAUUUUUCGCAAAUGGAGUUCUUCUCUUGAAUGGACGUCCUUUAGGUAGGGUGGUCCUACUUCUCCUUGUGGUGUAUGCUGGUACUUCAUUGUCAUCGUCAUGUUCCAUCUUUGGGUCGCCGUACUUGUCGAAGUCUUGCUCAUUGGCGACUCCAUCCAUUCCGAUGAUCUUCCUUUUGCCUCUCCUCAUGACAACACGACUGGGCUUUGAUGGGUCGGUAAUGAAGAAGCAUUUGUCCACUUGGGAAGCCAGUACCCAUGGCUCAUUUUUCGCGGUGACGUUUGUGCCCGCGGUCUUGGAUUUGGCUUCGGGUAUAACCAUGGUGGUGAAAUACUGGUCUUCUUUUAGGACGCUCUUGGCCCAUAUGACAUGGAACAUCGGGACCUUCUCUCCAGCAUAGCUCAGCUCCCAGAUCUUCUCGAUCCUUCUGUAGUAUCUGUCCUUGUCGUUACCGGUGUAGGAUUCCAUCGUUACCCCGGAGUUCUGAUAACCAUCACUCUUCAUGUCCUUUCCCUUAGUGUAGAAUGUGUAGCCAUUGAUAUCGUACGCCUCAUACGUCAUCAGGUUGUGCUCGGCGCCCUGUGGCAAGGUGAAUAUGAGUUGUUCUUCCGCGGAAGAAUCCUCAUGUAAAGGGUACGACAGAAGCUUCUCCUUGAACCAAAGCGUGAAACAUGAGUUGUGCUCUUUGAUUAUAUCUCCGUCCGUCCUCUGUUGGCCUCGGUUAUUGUACAUCUUCUCAAUAAAGGUUUUGUUCUCUACCACCCAAGGAUCAACCACAUCUAUGUGUUGUAGCGCGACCAGGUUUGCUCUUUCAAAGUCGGCGAGUCGACCCUCAAAGUCGACAUGCAUUUCGCGGCGACCCUCAAAGUCGAGGUGCCUGUUGACGGGCAAACCAACGGGGUUCUCGAUGCCUAGAUAAUUCGUGCAGUAGGAGAUGCACUCUUCGGUCAGAAAGCCCAUGGCUAUGCUUCCCUCUGGACGUGACAUGUUGCGAAUGUAUCCUUUGAUGACGCCAUUCAUCCUUUCGAACGGCAUCAUGCUGUGCGGGAACGUCGGCCCGAGUUGGAUGAUAUCCUCCACGAUAUGGACCAGAAGAUGCACCAUAACAUCGAAGAAUGCGGGCGGGAAGUACAUGUCAAGCUCGCAUAGUAUCACCACGAUCUCUUCCUGUAGCCUUCUGAGUUGCCUCACGCCAACCGACUUUAGAGAGAUGACAUCGAAAAAGUUGCAUAGGCCAAAAAGCAUUUCACGGACGUGCGCGUCCAUGAUCCCACGGAUUGCAACUGGAAGUAUCUGCAUCAUCAGCACGUGACAGUCGUGAGACUUCAUCCCGCUGAACUUCUGCUUCGCUGAGUCUAGGUAUCUUCUUAUCUUCCCCGCGUAACCGUAAGGAAGUUUUACUCCUACGAGGCAGGUGAAAAACUGCUCGAUCUCCUCCUGACUUAGAGUGAAGCACGCGGGAGGGAAGUCAUUUCCGAUCUUCUUGGCCUUUUUGCCUUUGCGACGACUUUUCGUGUCCUUCGCCUCAUCAUCAUCAUCAUCAUCAUCAUCACCAUCAUUAGCGUGAAGCUCCUCCCUGAUGCCCAUUGAUUUCAAGCCUGCCCUUGCUUUCGGCCCAUCUUUGGUCCUCUCUGGCAUGUUGAGCAGGGUACCAAGCAGACUCUCGCACACGUUCUUCGUGAUAUGCAUGACAUCAAGGAUGUGAGGCACACGGAGGAUCUUCCAGUACGGCAAGUCCCAGAAAACAGACCUCAUUUUCCAUACCUUCAGCAGCGGCUCUGGCGCCUUUCGCUUCUUUCCCGGCUCUGGCGCCUUUCCCGGCAGUGGGCACUCUUUCCAAUUUUUCAAUAGCUCGUCUAUUUCCUCGCUGCUCCUCGUACGCGGGCGUCUUCGGGGUUCGGUUUCACCAUCGAACAGAUCCUUGCGUUUUCUCCAUGAGUAAUCAUCGCGAAGCCACCUUCGAUGUUCCAUGAACACGAUUUUCGAAGACCCGGGAUCUCUAUCUAGCUAGCGAUACGUUUUGUCAUCCAUGCACCUGAUGCAUCCAGAAAAUCCGUGGACCACCUGCCCCGCGACAUAUCCGUAACCGAGAUAGUCGUGCACCGUCGUGAGCAGUGUGGCUCUCAUAGGGAAAUGUUCUUUCUCUGCGCCUUCCCACGUAUUGGCUUGCGUUUUCCACAGCGUGUCUAGCUCCUCUUUCAGCAGCCCUAGAUACAGAUUGAUGUUGUUCCCUGGUUGUUUCGGCCCUUCAAUUAGCAUACUCAUGUGAAUGUACUUCCUCUUCAUGCACAACCAGGCGGGAAGGUUGUACAUCCACACAAACACAGGCCAAGUGCUAUGUGUGCUUCUCUGGCUUCCAAACAGAUUGACUCCAUCGGUGCUCGCGCCCAGCACGAUGUUCCUUGGAUCAUCCCCAAAUUCUGGGUGUUUGAAGUUCAACGCUUGCCACUGGCUCGCAUCCUUAGGGUGACUCGGCAUCUUGUCUUUUUUAUUUAUCUCUGGAUCAUUUGUGUCAAAUUACCGCUUCUUCUCCUUCCUAUCCGCGUGCCAACGCAGGAGCUUUGCUACCUUAGGGUCCACGAAAUACCAAUGCAGACGAGGAGUGAUCGGAAAGUACCACACCACUUUUUGAGGAGCUUUCUUCCUCUUCUUGUAUCGACUAACGCCGCACACCGAACAUAUGGUAGACUCCGCAUGCUCGUCCCGAUAAAUGAUGCAAUUGUUCAUGCACACAUGGUAUUUCACGUGCGGUAAAUCCAUAGGACAAACGAUUUUCUUUGCCUUCUCGAAACUGGCCGGGCACUUGUUCCCCUUGGGAAGACGUUCGUGCCAGAAUGACAUGUUCUCGUCGAAGCAUGUGUCGGUCAUUUUGUGUUUUACCUUCAUCUCUAGAGCCAUGAGCGUUACUUUCAGGCGGGUAUCCUCGGGCCUGCAUCCUUCAUACAAUGGAGUAACCGCGUCUAUCUCCACUUGAUCCAGCUUGGCUUUCUCUCGGGCGGCAGCUCUUGCAUUAUCAGUCUGCUUGAGAAGCAGCUCUUGAAUAUGAGGGUCCUGCACCCAGCCCAUCGAUGGUCCAUCGUCGUCUGCUCCGGCAUCUUCAUCUUCAUGAUCAUGCCCUUCGUCUGCUCCGGCAUCUUCCUCAUCAUCAUGUCCGGCAUCUUCUACAUGAUGACUGUGUACUGCAUCUACUUCGUGAUCAUGUCCUGGAGAUUCUUCGUCUUCUCGCCCGCCCACGCCGUGGUUGUCUUGCUGCCCUUCCUCAUUUCUUGCCCGGCCCCCAUGGACGACUUCAUAAUCAUCUUCAUCACCUUGCCACUGAUAGCCAUCCAUGAAACCACGCAAGAGCAGGUGGUCCCGCGCCUGUAUGGAAUCCGGGUCUAUAAGGCUCUUCAGCUUGCAUCUUCGACACGGACAUUUUAUCUCCGUCUUGUUCUUUUGAAGCAUCUCGGCCUUCACGGAGCUCAAAAACCUAUUCAUGAUGCCUUCGGUCAUCGUGCGGACCAUGGUCGCCUGCGGGGGUAGAGCAAAACGAUAUUUUAGAACCCAAAAAAAUUGGCAUGACUUUGCCUAAAAAUAGGACCAAAAAGAAUGCAUAGUGCCAAAUUCUUGCCGAAACGGAAAUGAAUCAACAUUCCAGCAAAAUAUUGGCAACUAUCGCAUUUCAAAUACUGGUACCUGCAAACACAAAUAUAUGCAACACCACAAAUAUACGUAGAUCUAGGCCAACAAAAGUGCAUGUGCACGUUGUUGGAGGGAGAAAAAAGUAGAUCUACAACAUAAGAAAGCUUUCCCCUUACUUACCUAUCAAAAAAAGGAAAUUUAACCACUUAAUUUGGGUGACUCUAUGGUGCAAAUGAGGUGAGAAGGAGGAGGCACCUGAGACAAGUUUGGAGGAGGAGGUGGAGAGAAUGAAGUGGGGAAAGUGAGUGUGGUAGGUGUCUGUCCAAAAUAUCUAGCUGCUCCCAGGUUACUAAUGGCGCACCACCUAGCAAUGCACCAUUAGUAACCUUGGUUACUUAUGGCACACCUGUUACGUGCUGCGCCAUUACUAGUUUUGCAAAAAAAAAUAAAAAAAAAUUGUUAUUAGUGGCGCACCAUGUUUGUGGUGCGCCAUUAAUAGUUUGAACUAGUAAUGGCACACGGUUGCCUAGUGCACCAUUACUAGUUUUGAAAAAAAAUUAAAAAAAAUUGUUAGUAGUGGCGCACAGAGUGUGUAGUGCGCCAUUACUAGUUAAAACUAGUAAUGGCGUGAUACGUCUCCAACGUAUCUAUAAUUUAUGAAGCAUUCAUUCUAUUUUAUUAUCUAUUUUGAAUGAUUACGGGCUUUAUUAUACACUUUUAUAUUACUUUUGGGACUAACCUAUUAACCGGAGGCCCAGUCAAUAUUGAUGUUUUAUUGCCUGUUUCAGUAUUACGAAGAAAAGGAAUAUCAAAUGGAGUCCAAAUGGAAUGAAACCUUUGGCAGCGUGAUUUUUGGAAAGAUUAUGAUCCAGGAGACUUGGAGUGCAAGUCGGGGGUCAUCAAGGAAGCCACGAGACAGGGGGCGCGCCCACCCCCCGGGCGUGCCCUACCCUCUCGUGGGCCCCUCGAGGCUCCCCUGACCGACUUCUUUCGCCUAUAUAAGCCUACGUACCCUAAAAACAUUGAAUAUCAAGAUAGAUCAAGAGUUCCGCCGCCGCAAGCCUCUGUAGCCACCAGAAACCUCUCGGGAGCCCUUUCCGGAACCCUGCCGGAGGGGGGUCAUUCACCGGUGGCCAUCUUAAUCAUCCCGACACUCUCCAUGAUGAGGAGGGAGUAGUUCACCCUCGAGGCUGAGGGUAUGUACCAGUAGCUAUGUGUUUGAUCUCUCUCUCUCAUGUUCUCUCUCGUGUUCCCUCUAUGACACGAUCUUGAUGUAUCCCGAGCUUUGCUAUUGUAGUUGGAUCUUAUGAUGUUUCUCCCCCUCUACUCUCUUGUAAUGGAUUGAGUUUUCCCCUUUGAAGUUAUCUUAUCAGAUUGAGUCUUUAAUGAUUUGAGAACACUUGAUGUAUGUCUUGCCGUGAUUAUCUAUGGUGACAAUGGGAUAUCAUGUGCCACUUGAUGUAUGUUUUGGUGACCAACUUGCGAGUUCCGCCCAUGAACCUAUGCAUAGGGAUUGGCACACGUUUUCGUCCUGACUCUCCGGUAGAAACUUUGGGGCACUCUUUGAAGUACUUUGUGUUGGUUGAAUAGAUGAAUCUGAGAUUGUGUGAUGCAUAUCGUAUAAUCAUGCCCACGGAUACUUGAGGUGACAAUGGAGUAUCUAGGUGACAUUAGGGUUUUGGUUGAUUUGUGUCUUAAGGUGUUAUUCUAGUAUGAACUCUAUGAUGGAUUGAGCGGAAAGAAUAGCUUCAUGUUAUUUUACUACGAACUCUUGAAUAGAUAGAAUAGAAAGGAUAACUUUGAGGUGGUUUCGUACCCUAUCAUAAUCUCUUCGUUUGUUCUCCGCUAUUAGUGGCUUUGGAGUGACUCUUUGUUGCAUGUUGAGGGAUUGUUAUAUGAUCUAUCUAUGUUAUUAUUGUUGAGAGAACUUGCACUAGUGAAAGUAUGAACCCUAUGCCUUGUUUCCUACCAUUACAAUACCGUUUACGCUCACUUUCAUCAUUAGUUACCUUGCUGUUUUUGUAAUGUCAGAUUACAAAUACCUUUAUCUACCAUCCAUAUUGCACUUGUAUCACCAUCUCUUCGCCGAACUAGUGCACCUAUACAAUUUACCAUUGUAUUGGGUGUGUUGGGGACACAAGAGACUCUUUGUUAUUUGGUUUCAGGGUUGUUUGAGAGAUACCAUAUUCAUCCUACGCCUCCUACGGAUUGAUAAACCUUAGGUCAUCCACUUGAGGGAAAUUUGCUACUGUCCUACAAACCUGUGCACUUGCAGGCCCAACAACGUCUACAAGAAGAAGGCUGUGUAGUAGACAUCAAGCUCUUUUCUGGCGCCAUUGCCGGGGAGGUGAGUUCUUGAAGGUAUAUCUUUAGAUCUUGCAAUCGAAUCUUUUUGUUUCUUGUUUUAUCACUAGUUUAGUUUAUAAAAUAAAACUACAAAAAAAUGGAAUUGAGUUUGUCACAUACGCUUCAUCUUUUUAAUAUCUUUCGUGAGAAUGAUGGAAAGGAAAAUUGUGCUCAAUUUCUAGAAGAAGAAUGCAUUAAAAUAUCUGGUACUAGAUCUUUGUAUGAUGAGCAUGAUUGCAAUGUUAUUAGUGUGAACUCUUUGAAUAUCCAUAGUACUAAUGAUGAUUGCACUAGUUAUGAUGAAAAUAUCUCUUAUGAGCAUGUCAACUUUUGUGGAGUGCAUGUCUGCAUGAACACACCGAAUAGAGAAGAUAUAUAUUGCAAGAGGCAUAAGCAUUUAGAAACUAAAUGGUUUCAAGAAAGGCUUAAUGUUAGUGCUGAAAAUUGAAGAUAUAUUUACCGUUGUGAACUUUGCAAUAAAAUUGGUCAUUUAAAUCUCCGAUGCAAAUUGUUUCAUGAUCGAAUCGUGUUGAAAAAUUGUGAUGAUUUGAUCUCCCUUGCUCAUUACAAUGAACUUAGUUUGCUUUUUAGUUAUGAAGAAUUAAAACGUGCAACUAAGCUUAUUCCAAAAUUUAAUCUUGGGCAUUUCCUUGAUAUUAAUCUAGAGAAGAUUUAUAUGUAUUGUACGGUGAAUUGCAUUGAAAAUCCUUAUAUUGCCAAUUACCUAAAGAAAAGAAAGCAAAUAGAAGAUGAAGAGAAUAGUAAUGAAAGGGAAGAGACUUCCCAACCUCCUCCUAUUAUUUCUUAUGAUGAUUCAGGUAACGAGGAGGAGCUUUCUAUUCAACCAAUCCCAUCAAUAAAGAAGGUUGAACCCACACAUAAUGUGAAGAAGAAAAGGAAGAGAAGGGGCAGCAAAGGUAAAAAGGUAUCCCUCCCAAAUGAUGUUGCUCCUACUACUCAUUGUGAUGAUGAUAAUUGCUAUACUAUUGGUGCUAUCCAUACUAUUGAUGAUGAUUAUGCUUAUGAUAUGAAAAGGCCCAAGCUUGGAGAAGCUAUGUUUGAUGAGGAUGAAAUAUUUGAGAAUAUAUUUGCUGAAAUUAAUGAUUGUCCCAAGCUUGGGGAUGCUAUGUUUAAUGAAUGUGAUAUUUUUAGCCUCCCAAGUUUUGAUAUGCGAAGUUGUUAUGAUGAUAGCAUGCCUUGUACCUAUGAUGAUUAUAUUGAUGAAAGUGGGUUUGGAAGAGUGUCAACUUUAGGUAGUAUUGAUCCCACUAUUUUGGAGGAUGUUGAAUCUUAUAAUAUUUAUGAAAGUGAAUCUCGAAGAGUGUCAACUUUAUUUAGUAAUGAUUCCACUAUCUUGGAAGAGGUUUCAAUCGAUUAUGAUGAGAACAAAGUUGCUACUUAUGAUGAUUAUUGUGAUGAAACUUAUGCUAUAAAAGUAGUGAUGAUUAUAUUUAUAAAACUUGUCAUGAUUAUGAUUACCCUUUCUCUAAACAUUACUCUUUUAAUAUGGAAAAAUUUAUAGUAUUCAAGUCUUUUAUGAUACUCCCACCAUUCCGAAUGAGAAGAAUUUUGCUUAUGUGGAGAGUAGUAAAUUUUCUAUGCUUGUAGAUCAUGAAAAGAAUGCUUUAGGUGCUGGUUAUAUUGUUGAAUUAAUUCAUGAUGCUACUGAAAACUAUUAUGAGGGAGGAACAUAUGCUUGUAGGAAUUGCAAUAAUAUCAAGUUUCCUCUGUGUGUGCUUAAAAUCUUGAAGUUAUGUUUAUUUUGCCUUCCUAUGCUAGUUGAUUAUUGUUCCCACAAGUUGUUUGCUCACAAAAUCCCUAUGCAUAGUAAGUGGGUUAGACUUAAAUGUGCUAGUCAUAUUCUUCAUGAUGCUCUCUUUAUGUUUCAAUUCUUAUCUUUUAUGUGAGCAUCAUUGAAAUCAUCAUGCCUAGCUAGAAAGGCAUUAAAGAAAAGCGCUUGUUGGGAGACAACACAGCAUUUAACCUUACUGUUUUUGUGUAUUAACAUGAUUAUGCUACUGUAAUAAUCAUGUUUUAUAUCUUUUGUUUCAAUAAAGUGUCAAGUAGAAUCUUUGGGAAGACUUGGGUGAAGUCUUCAUGAUCUUGCUGUGAAAAACAGAAGCUUUAGAGCUCACAAGAUUAGCUGCCAUUUUUUACAAAAGAGUGAUUUUAGGUUUAUUCUUUUUGAAGAUGAUUAAUAGACAAAUUACUCAGGUCCACCAAUUUAUUUCAUAAUUUUUGGGGUUCGAUAAGUAUACGUUUGAUACAGAUUACUACAGACUGUUCUGUUUUUGACAGAUUCUGUUUUCAUUGUGUUGUUUGCUUAUUUUGAUGAAUCUAUGACUAGUAUGUAAGGGUAUGAACCAUAGAGAAGUUAGAAUACAGUAGAUAUUACACCAAUAUUAAUUUAGAAUGAGUUCAUUAUAGUACCUAAGUGGUGAUUUAUUUUCUUAUACUAACAGAGCUUACGAGUUUUGUGUUGAGUUUUGUGUGGUUGAAGUUUUCAAGUUUUUGGUAAGGAUUCGAUGGACUAUGGAAUAAGGAUUGGCAGGAGCCUAAGCUUGGGGAUGCCCAAUGAACCCCAAGGUAAUAUUCAAGGACAACCAAGCAACUAACCCUGGGGAUGCCCCGGAAGGCAUCCUCUCUUUCGUCUUCGUUCAUCGGUAACUUUACUUGGAGCUAUAUUUUUAUUCACCACAUGAUAUGUGUUUUGUUUGGAGCGUCAAUUUAUUUUGUUAGUAUUUGCUUGCUGUUAUUUAGAAUAAUGUUUUGCAUCUAUAUUUUCAAUAAAAAUGUCAAGGAUAGCCUUUACCAUGCCUAUUUUGCUAGUAUACAUGUUGCUGUUUAAAAACAGAAAGUUCACCGAUGUUGCAAAAAUUCCCUAGAAAAGUCAGAGAGUGAUAUAAUGUUGAAUCUUUUUUCAUAGUGAGCUCUGAUAAAUCUUGUACAGCGUAUAUUUUUCUUAUACUUUUGGAGUUAGGGAAGUAUGAUGAAUCUUGCAUUCUUUACAGACUAUACUGUUUUGGCCGACUACUGUUAUGGUUGCAUUGUUUGCAUAUAAUUGCUUGUUUAAUGAUUCUAUUUGAGGAUAGGAGUACUAAAUAUGCAGAGACAUUUAGUAUCCAAUGUUGAAUAAUAAUGUUAGUGAUUUGGUACAUUAGAAAAUGAUAAGGUUUUGCAUUGGUUUAUACUAACCUAUCUCACGAGUUCUUGUUGAGUUUGUUGUGGAUGAAGCUUUUGAUAAAAAGAGAAACCGUGACAUGAAAGGAAUUAAGGAGACACAAAAGCUCAAGCUUGGGGAUGCCCAAGGCACCCAAAGAUAAUAUUUCAAGAAGUCUCAAGCAUCUAAGGUUUGGGAUGCCCCGGUAGGCAUCCCACAUUUCUUCUUCAACAACUAUCGGUUAGUAUCGUUUGAACCUAAGUUUUUGCUUCUUCACAUGAGUUGUGCUAUCCUUGCAAUGUCAUUUUGUUUUGCUUUGCUUGCUGUUUGAAUAAAAUACCAAGAUCUGAAAUUCUUAAUUGAGAGAGAGCCUUCACAUAGUUACAUAAUUAUUUAGCUACUCAUUGAUCUUCACUUAUAUCUUUUUGGAGUAGUUUUUCAUUUACUCGUGUGCUUCACUUAUAUCCUAUGAGUAAAUGGUUGAAUGAGUUGAAUGUCAUAAAUCUGAAAUUAUAUAUGUUUCAUUUGCUUAUCCCAUGGGGAGUAAUGACUUCACAUCUAAGAAGUAGAGGUAGUAAUUUAUUGGCGGUUAGCAAGCAUUAUAUUGGUCAUUUGAACAAUUCAUGAAAGAAUAUUGAAGGAAGAGAGAUUUCACAUAUAAAUAUAUUAUCAUAGACAUCUUUUAUAAUUGUGAGCACUCAUUAAGUAUAACAUGCUAAAGAGUUGAUGUUGGACAAGGAAGACAACGUAAUGGGUUAUGUUUUCUCACAUCUCAGUUAAAGUAUAUUGUCAUGGAUCAUUCAAACAUGUUGAGCUUGCCUUUCUCCCCUUGCUAGCCUAAAUAUCUGUACUAAGCGGGAAUACUGCUUGUGCAUCCAAUAUCCUUAAACCCAGUUUUUGCCAUGAGUGUCCACCACACCUACCUAUAUGCGGUAUUUACGUGUCGUUCCAAGUAAAUUUUCAUGUGUCAAACUCUAAACCUUCAAAUUAUAAUCUGUUUUGUAUGCCCGAAUUGCUCAUGUAGCAACUAGGGGCUGUCAGUGUCUUCCAUGCUAGGUGGAUUAUUCUCAAGAGGAGUGGACUCCGCUCCUCAUUCACGAGAAAGGGGCGGUAACCGGGAUGCCCAGUCCCAUGAGCAAAUAAAACUCCCCCAGGUUUGAUGUUAGUUGGAGGCACCCGUUGUUUCGGGCAAGCCAUGGAUUGAUGAUUGUUGAUGGAGGGGGAGUAAAAACUUUUACCAUUCUGUUUGGGAACCGCCUAUAAUGUAUGUAGUAUGGAAGAUAUUGGGAACUCUUGGUUGUUAUGUUGACAUUGAGAUCAUACCUCUCAAAAUUAUUUAUCUCUAUUUCAAAAUCGAGCUCUGGCACCUCUGCAAAUCCCUGCUUCCCUCUGCGAAGGGCCUAUCUUUUACUUUAUGUCAUUUACUUUACGCAAGAGUCAAGGUGAUCUUCACCUUUCCCUUUUUCAUUUUAUCCUUUGGAAAGCACUUUGUGUUAGGGUGAUCCUGAUAUAUAUAUCCAAUUGGAUGUAAGUUAGCAUGAACUAUUAUUGUUGACAUCACCCAAAGGUGAAUAUGUUUGGAGGCAACAUUAUAAGCCCCUAUCUUUCUCUGUGUCUGAUUAAAACUCCGUAACCACAAGUACUGCGUGAGUGUUAGCAAUUGUAGAAGACUAUAUGAUAGUUGAGUAUGUGAAGUUUGCUAAAUCGAAGCUCUGACAUAUACCCUUCCUGAAAAAAGGAUGAAUUGCAAUUGUUUGAUGACUAAGAAUGAAGUUUGCUAGUUUUCAAGAAAGUUUAUGGUCUAUGCUUUAACAUGUGAAUUACUUGUUACUUAAUUAUGAAAAGUUUUAUGGGAUGAACUACUGUUAUGAAAUAUAUUGAUGCUAGUAAAGGUGAUUGAAAUUAUCAUUGAUCAAACUUAUGCACCUCUAGCAUUCACACUUCAGAAAUUCUUUCUUUUAUCAUUUACCUACUCGAGGACGAGCAGGAAUUAAGCUUGGGGAUGCUGAUACGUCUCCAACGUAUCUAUAAUUUAUGAAGCAUUCAUGCUAUUUUAUUAUCUGUUUUAAAUGAUUACGGGCUUUAUUAUACACUUUUAUAUUACUUUUGGGACUAACCUAUUAACCGGAGGCCUAGCCCAUAUUGUUGUUUAAUUGCCUGUUUCAGUAUUUCGAAGAAAAGGAAUAUCAAACGGAGUCCAAACGGAAUGAAACCUUCAGCAGCAUGAUUUUUGGAAAGAUUAUGAUCCAGAAGACUUGGAGUGCAAGCCGGGGGGUCAUCGAGGAAGCCACGAGACAGGGGGCACGCCCACCCCCUGGGCGCGCCCUACCCUCUCGUGGGCACCUCGAGGCUCCCCCGACAGACUUCUUUCGCCUAUAUAAGCCUACGUACCCUAAAAACAUCGAAUAUCAAGAUAGAUCGGGAGUUCUGCCGCCGCAAGCCUCUGUAGCCACCAGAAACCUCUCGAGAGCCCUUCCCGGCACCCUGCCGGAGGGGGAUCCUUCACCGAUGGCCAUCUUUCAUCAUCCCGGCACUCUACAUGACGAGGAGGAAGUAGUUCACCCUCGAGGCUGAGGGUAUGUACCAAUAGCUAUGUGUUUGAUCUCUCUCUCUCGUGUUCUCUCUCGUGUUCCCUCUAUGGCAUGAUCUUGAUGUAUCCCGAGCUUUGCUAUUGUAGUUGGAUCUUAUGAUGUUUCUCCCCCUCUACUCUCUUGUAAUGAAUUGAGUUUUCCCCUUUGAAGUUAUCUUAUCAGAUUGAGUCUUUUAUGAUUUGAGAACACUUGAUGUAUGUCUUGCCGUGAUUAUCUGUGGUGACAAUGGGAUAUCAUGUGCCACUUGAUGUAUGUUUUGGUGAUCAACUUGCGGGUUCCGCCCAUGAACCUAUGCAUAGGGGUGGGCACGCGUUUUCAUCUUGACUCUCCGGUAGAAACUUUGGGGCACUCUUUGAAGUACUUUGUGUUGGUUGAAUAGAUGAAUUUGAGAUUGUGUGAUGCAUAUCGUAUAAUCAUGCCCACGGAUACUUGAGGUGACAAUGGAGUAUCUAGGUGACAUUAGGGUUUUGGUUGAUUUGUGUCUUAAGGUGUUAUUCUAGUAUGAACUCUAUGCUGGAUUGAGCGGAAAGAAUAGCUUCAUGUUAUUUUACUACGAACUCUUGAAUAGAUAGAAAAGAAAGGAUAACUUUGAGGUGGUUUCGUACCCUAUCAUAAUCUCUUCGUUUGUUCUCCGCUAUUAGUGGCUUUGGAGUGACUCUUUGUUGCAUGUUGAGGGAUUGUUAUAUGAUCUAUCUAUGUUAUUAUUGUUGAGAGAACUUGCACUAGUGAAAGUAUGAACCCUAUGCCUUGUUUCCUACCAUUACAAUACCGUUUACGCUCACUUUCAUCAUUAGUUACCUUGCUGUUUUUAUAAUGUCAGAUUACAAAUACCUUUAUCUACCAUCCAUAUUGCACUUGUAUCACCAUCUCUUCGCCGAACUAGUGCACCUAUACAAUUUACCAUUGUAUUGGGUGUGUUGAGGACACAAGAGACUCUUUGUUAUUUGGUUUCAGGGUUGUUUGAGAGAUACCAUAUUCAUCCUACGCCUCCUACGGAUUGAUAAACCUUAGCUCAUCCACUUGAGGGAAAUUUGCUACUGUCCUACAAACCUGUGCACUUGCAGGCCCAACAACGUCUACAAGAAGAAGGCUGUGUAGUAGACAUCAUGGCGCACUAUACCCUGGUGCGCCAUUACUAGUUUUGGAAGAAAAAAAUUAUUAGUAGUGAUGCACCGUGGGUGUGGUGCGUCAUUACUGAUAUGGACACUAAUGGCGUACCUACACAUGGUGCACCACUGCUAUAUAGCAGUGGCGCACCAUAUUUGUGGUGCGCCAUUAAUGUUCAUAUUAGCUAUAGCCCUUUUCCUAGUAGUGAUAGCAAUGGAAAAGAUUGAAGCACUUGUCGUUGUGUUGGACCUUGAAUGCCUCCAAAGCUUGAAAUGCCUACAAAUGUUUUCAUGCAAGCAUGUUGGCACAAAUGGUAUGUAAAAUAAACACGCAAGCAUGAACUUGAUGACACAAAAGAGGGCAGCUUGCUACCAUACCAUGUCUUGCAUGCCAAUGCCGCUCACGGAGCGGGCCUUGACGCUCUCAAGAGUGGCAUGAAACUUGUUGCACUCGUGUUGGAUCACUCUCCAUUGCUUCGAAAUGGACACCCACCCACACGUGCUCACAAUUUGGUAAGGAGAAAACUUCAAGCGCUCAUGAAACUCCCGGUGGACACGAAUCCAAAAAGUUGAAUGCUUUUGUUCGGCGCCGGUCUUGGGAUCUUGUCCAAUGUCCCUUCAACACUCGCAAAGAAGUUUGUUCUCGGCCGCCGUGUAUGCCUUUGUGCUCUUGCUCUUGCGCUUCGGCUUCGGCCCGACGGCUUGGUUGGCGAGCUUAUCCUCAAACAAAGGCUCCACUUUGAUGUCGCACUCGUCUUCUUCCUCUUGCCCGUAGUCGUCCGGAAACUCGUGGUCAAGUGAGAAGCCGUCAAGGUCCAUGCCGACCUGAUCACGCAUGAAGGUCGACUGAUCAUAGCCAGCGCACGGCUUGAACGCCCCGCGGCUGUCCUGGCUUUGUGUCUCCUCGGGGUCAUAGCCAGUAGUCGGCGCACUGCCCUCGAAGAUGAGGUUCUGCAUGUAGUCCUCGUUGCUGGCGGCCGGCAUUUCGUCAAACAGGUUGCGGCGUGUACCACGUCGGCCUGCAUCUGCCGCACGCGUUUACUUGCACCUCCGGAUGACGAGCCGCCGGCUACCGGUGUGGCGUUGAGGUAGAUGGGCGCGUGUGCGGGCGUGGAAGGCGCCACCACGCUCACGUCGGGUGAGCACUCCCCGGAGAGGCGCGAGACCUGCGGGUACACGUGGAAGCCAGGUAUCGGGAUGCAAGCCGACGCGCGGGGUGAGUCGGGCAGCACCAUCCAAGGGAACGUGGACGAGCCGGUGCUGGCCACGGCGGCGUUGACAAGGCCGUGUUGGCUAGGGUUUAACCCUAGCAUGUAGAGUGUCUCCCUCGUUGUCGCCGCGACGCGGGUGUUGGUGACCUCCUGCUGCGCAGCGGCGGCAACGGCGGCAGGCGAGAUGGCUUCACCCCUCGCAUCCGUGGCGUGCCUCCGGCUCUUCCUCUUGGCCGACUCCGCCGCCCGGUGUUCGGGCGUCAGCGCCUUCUUUCGCUUGGUCGCGGCGGCGGUUUUUCGCAGGGCACGAGGCUUGCCUUUGCCGGAGGGGGCGAUCUUCAUGCCGGACGAGGCGACGCCAGCGGCGGCGUCGAGGUCAAGGUCGUCGUUCAUGGCGGGUGCGGGAAGGGAGCGCACGCGGGCAGGAGGGUUUUAGGAAAAAAUAGGUGGAAAUGAUGCUUGCUACCACUGACCGGUGGGCCCGGGGAGAAGAGUAGGCGCGCGCGUCAAUCCCGUGUCCGAACCGAUGCUAAUCAGGCUAAAAAAUGGGCCGGAAAUGGAUCGCCCGCAGACGAAAAACGAACGCGCGUUCAUUGGGUCGGCGCGUUGUGCCGCCUUUUGUGUCCACGCCGAUCCUAACGGACGGCGACGGACGAAAUGGGUCGUCUCGUUGCAGUUGCUAGCCUUAAACAAGUUCAGGGUCAGGCAUGCGUAUGGUCUCACUUUCACUCCAAUUCACUGCAGCAACGACGGGGGGGCGGAUAUUCGGAUACGCGAUGCUCGAUCGGACCGGCGUGCCGGCGUCCGUACGGCGGUGCAGUGCGCCCAGACGGGCCGACCUGAACAAAACCCCGUGCCGAUACCUGCAGGCGCAGUCAUGCAUCACUGCGCUCUCGAGAAACACAUGUUCCUCGCUUGGCAACCCCGUGCGUCCACCGCCACUGAUCGAUCCUUUCUCCGAACACACUUAAUUUCGCCGCAGCAGAAAAGUGAUUGUGGCCACUUUCCUAUACUCUCCAGCCCACUCGAUGCCGCCAUAGGUGAUUUGGUAGCUACUAGUACACGUAGCUAGGGUGUCAAUUUCGUCGGUAAUCAAUUGUGCCACAGCAAACUGAUUGCUCCUGCCUAAAAUUGUCAGAUAUUUGUUGCCUACCUAUGGACCAACCGAGGUACUCCCUCCGUUCCGAAUUAUUCGUCGCAAAAAUAAAUGUAUCUAGAUAUAUUUUAGUUCUAGAUAUAUCUAUUUCCGUGACGAGUAAUUUGAAACGGAGGGAGUACCACUAGCAGGCGCGCCAGGCACAUGGGCUCAGAGGAAGCACUUCACUCUCGACAGUGGUCAGUGGGCAUCUAGCAGGAUAUUCGUAUCAUGCGAAAAGCGUUCACACGCACGCCCCCAUCGUGUAUCAUCGACUUCCCAAGAUCCAGGCGUACGUACGCACUGCAACUGUAAAAAAAAACACGGUCGGUAGGCAGGUGGCCAGUAGCCGUGCGACCACGGCCGCAGCCACGCACGCACGCCGAGCCGAUCCUCCGGCCCUGCGUACGUGUCCCGCUCGCGCGCGGUCGACAUGCGAGACAGCGACGGCAACCGAUGUUCGUACGGAUGACACGAGAGACGGGACUCCAAACCGGUCGUGACCACGUCGCGGCCCGGGCAGUGAGCCACGCGCACUCUCACGCCAUGGCACCUGCUGUGCUGCUGCACGUAGCACGUACGCGUCCUCGGCCGGGGCAUUCGCAUGCGGUGCGACGCGAGGUCCACCCUCGGCACUCGUGUCGACGAUCCCCUGCCGUCUGCCGGCGGCGUCUCUCCCGUGGCGCCACGCGCCGGCUCGUGAUUCGGGGUCAUGCGAUCAUUGCGGGAAAGCUGGGAAAGCGUGCUGGACUCUUUUCGGCAGGCAUGUGUCCGGGCAUCUGGGCUGGUUGCGAUCCGGUCGCUCGGUUGGCCUCCACGUGUGCGGCGCGUACCGGCCGAAUCGAGGGAGCAGUCCGUGGCGUGGGAAAAAAUAACGUAGAAUAUGUGCGGGAGGAUAAGCGCUGGCCGCCGGAGAAGCGGCGGGGCAGCGGGCGAAUCUUCUGGACGAAUGCCGAGCUCGCAACCGCGGUGAUGGCGACGGCACGAGCAGAUGGGACGGUGAUGAUUCGUCGGGGCCGUUGGCCGUUUCCUGGCGCGCCAUCAUUACGUGGUCGUGUUGGAAGAUCGUCUUCACAAAGGCAGGAAAUAAAAAGUUUAUUUUACAGUCGAACAAGUGACGGUGCUUGCCACUUCGGGAGGAGCUUGCCGCUCCUUCUUUGUUGGAAAAUUCCAGAGCCGUGAACAAUUUGUCACCAAGCACCGAAUAACCGAAAAUUAAGUUACUUUGCAUCGAGAACUGGCCCUCCCGUCAAGAUGAGGUGUGAUCUUCAUUUGUUGCUUCACUUCACUUCACUCUAGCUAGCUAAGCAGCCUUGGAUGGGACGCAGCUACUGUAGCCACCCACGUACGACGGUACGUGCACAUGCAUCAUUGCGCGCGCGCCCGAGAAACACAUGGUCCUCGCCUGCCGUACCAGGCAUGCCCGUGCGCCCACCGCCACGGGCGGCGCAGCCACGCACCAUCGGGAGUCUGGACUACCCGAUCCUAUCCCGAGUACCCCGUGUCGCGAGGCCCAGGCUCCGUACGUCCCGCUCGCGGUCGGUCGACAUGAGAGACAACGACGCCCCGCCACCGCGCGCCACGCAGCCAACGGAGCGAGGCCACGGAGCCACGCGCCCUCCCGGCCGGGGCACACGUCGUCGCCCGAGGCCUAUCUAUGCGUGCGCGCGCGGCACGCGAGACCGAUCGGCCGGUCGAUCGUCACGCGUCUUUCCACGAGUUGGGACUCGAGUCGAGCUUGCCACGCGCCGGCGCGCGAUUUGUGCUCGGACGAGACGAUCGAUCACCGCGCCGGCACAGCGACAGAGCUCGGGAAGCGUGCUCCGCGGCUUUUCGGCGGGCAUGUGUCCGGUCACCAUGCCGCCAGAUGCGGCGGUUGCGAUCGGGCGGUUGGCCAAAUUAAACAAGCAAGCAAACAGUGGCGCGGGCAACAAAAAUGCGUCGUGGUAGUAGAAUAUGUGUGAGGCGGCGAGAGGAUAAGCACUGGCCGCCGGAGAGGAGAAGCGGCGAGGCAGCGGGCGAAUGUUCCCGACGAAUGCCGAUCGAGCUCGCGGACCGCGACGGAAGUCGUCGUCCGUUUCUCGCGCUGCCGUCAGUGCUAGCGUGGUCACCUGCAGAAGAAGUGGAGGAAAAAGCAGCCCGUCUCACGGCCGAACAGCUUGCGAUCACCUUCCGAUCUUUACCACUUGGGGUUGGGGAUCGAUCGACUUCGGCUGGCGAUCGUGACCGCACGUACGCAGCUAGGCGGCUAGUGGCUACAGCGUGUUACUGUCUGGUAAUUAACCAUGCCUAAAUUAAACGCGAUGUGCAUCGAAUAACGGAUAAAGAUCGUGCCGAUGAAUGAUCCCUUUCGUUGACAGCGCACACGGACGAUAAAUAUCGCCGCUUCACAGGUCAGUCGACCUUAUCUGUGUAGUGUGGUCAAUUUGACUGUACCGGUGAUGUGCGCAUGCACUCGACGUUUGUUUCUGUGGACGACCGCCGAUCACAUCCUUUAGCUGGAUUUUGUCGUGUAAUAUUAAGACAAGACGCUAGCUGCAUCCAAACUAUCUUGGACACCGGAUUGACGCGUUGGUCGAUGCGCUGGAGACUUCUUUCCAAUCGCAAGGUGUUUGGUUUAGAGCCAAAAUAUUUGGAUCCUCCCUCGCCAAAAUGAAUAAAUAAAUUAUUUGGACCUUCAUAACUGGCGAACGAUCGUCGGGGAAGGUGACAAUUUUUAGUUCAAAGAAGGUGACAAUUUGUUUAGAGCGGCAUGUCAGUUUUACUUUUUUCAGAGAAGGCAUUUCUUGUUUAAAAAUUGCCGUAGUUUGAUUUUUCUUCUCCACUAAAACUACCAUCAAAUGGCGUUUGCUCGCCCCCUCUCGUAGCGAACGUCAGCUAGGUAACAUUACCGAAAUAUUUACCCAGACAAUAAACUGCCAUUUUUGAAAUUUUCCUUCUGGGAAAUUUCAAGAAGCAUGUAUACACGCUGCAUGUCCCUGGUGCCCGCUUUUCAUUUUGGCUUUCAAUUUUAAAAAAUAUAUUUUUAACAAGAAUUCUAAAUUAAGUUAUGUUUUCGUAUUCUUGUUUAUCUUGACAUGUGCUUUCAAAUAAUAUCUAUUUUGAAUAUAUUUUGACGACUUCAAAAAAAUAUGUUAAGUUUCAGUGCAUGAACUUAGCACGAGAGAGCGAUAAAAAUCAUUUACUUUGUGUCUACGACCGAUAGAAAAAUCUGCUUGAAAUUAUAUCUCCAAAUCUGGUUGAAACUUGGCAGUUUUAGAAGCAAAAAUUGUAAGUUUCAUUGUUGAAACUUUUUUUAGAAUUUUUCCUUUUUACUGUGCCCUCGGGCGAGAUUGAACUACAACACAAAUUGUGAGGCAAAACGAGUGGACAAUAGGACUUUGGCAGGUGAUUGCUCCCGCACUUGCGUGCCCCAGCGCAUUCCCGGUUGCUGCGGGAAUUGAUUGCAAUAUAUUUCAGUGAUUUGAGUGUAUGAAGCAUGGAUUAUUGAAUUAAUAAUAUAUGAGCUAAAACUAAAAAUAAACAUUAUAUAUUGCAUUUGAUUAUUGUGUAGUUUGGAAAUAUUUUAAAUAUAAGUGACAUAACAUGAUGGAAAACAUUUUUCCAUGUAUGCUGAGCGCCUGUUCCCCAUGUCCCACCGGCCAUGAGCCACGAGAACUAAAGAUAUCCACCUCUGCGAAGUGGCCUUUCUAGGACCCGAGCGCUAGAGACCUCCCAUGGUCUACUCUUCCUCGCUGCUGGCGGCGCCCACGGACAUGCCGACUUCGUCAUUGUGACGACUAGGCAUGACCGAGGCGGAAUCCUUAUCCUUGUCGCACACUUCAUCCGUCGCCUCGUCGAUCUCCUUGAAGGAGGCUUCUAACUCUGCCGGAUGGAUGCGGUACCGCCUAUGGUGGCAGCGAAUGUCGUUGGUUUAGUGAUAUGAUUUGAGCAGCGCCUCCUGCUCGCCCACGUCCAUGCCCGCGCGAUGCCUGCUCCGGUGGCAAGUUUCUCCUCCAAGUGCGGGUGCUCGUUGAGGAGGUUGAGGUUGUAAGCUUGUUCGGCCGGUGUCUGCCCGGACGCGGCCCUCCACUCUUCCAACACCAUCUCGCUGUAGUAAGCACGUGCCUCACCCAUGGUGAUGCCAGCAUAGGCCGACUCAUCGUCGCCCCCCUCAUCCAUUGGGGCGUCCGCAUCGCUGGCCUCCGGUGAGCUCGUCCGUCUUCUUGCAUUGGCGGUGUUCUCCUUCUGCUCGGACGAGAGGUUGUCCCGGAGGGCUUUGGAGCUCGAGGAGGCCAUGGCGGUCAUGGUGUCGAGAGGAGAUAGGGUCGAAGGAGGUUGGAUGCGGUUGGUGUCGGGCCUGGAGUUUAUAUAACGGGCAGAUGGCGGGGGCAGGUGGCGAGGUGGUAGCAGACGGACGGACGGGUGAUGCAGGGAGUUGGAUGGACGCGCUGUCAUUUGAACGCGGGGCAGUCACGUGCACUAGAAGUUGCGCGGGCAACGCUCUCCGCUGGCUCGCAACUUCAAUGCCGGAGCAAUGUGAGAGGCCGUGUCCGCUCUAGGUCGGCAUGGAUGCGGCACUGAACGCUCUGGAGUGGCGCUAACCACUUCCGCGCGGGGGAGGGAGGNNNNNNNNNNNNNNNNNNNNNNNNNNNNNNNNNNNNNNNNNNNNNNNNNNNNNNNNNNNNNNNNNNNNNNNNNNNNNNNNNNNNNNNNNNNNNNNNNNNNNNNNNNNNNNNNNNNNNNNNNNNNNNNNNNNNNNNNNNNNNNNNNNNNNNNNNNNNNNNNNNNNNNNNNNNNNNNNNNNNNNNNNNNNNNNNNNNNNNNNNNNNNNNNNNNNNNNNNNNNNNNNNNNNNNNUGGCCAAGGUUGUUGGAUGCUUGCGUGAUAGCGGUCCGGUCGCCCGCAAAGCCACCUUCCCGCUGUUUGCUUUUGAUUUACGGCAAAAAUAACGCCCGAACCGCCGAAGGAACCAAUACAAGACUACUUUCGAUGGCAUAAUGCACCGGUAUUGUGCGGUACGGAUGGUUGUGAACGGUGUGACGAUCCGUGUAAGAGAUGCCCUAGGUUUAUUGCAAAUAAUAUUACUUCCUUUGUUUCUAAGUUUUAAACCUGUUAGAGAUUUCAUUAUAAACUACGUAUGAACCAAAAUGAAUGAAUCUACACCCUCAAGUAAUCUCUCCGUCCGGAAAUAUUUGUUGGAGAAAUGGAUGUAUCUAGACGUAUUUUAGUAGUAGAUACAUUCAAUUUUAUCCAUCUCUUUGAUAAGUAUUUCGGGACGGAGGAAGUAUGUCUAUGUACAUCCGUAUGUACUGCAGAGUGGAAUCAGUAAAAGGUGUAAUAGGAACGGAGGGAGUAGAUAUGAGCUGUCUUCUUUCCUAAAAGAGCAGAAAAUCUUACGCGGUAGAUACGCGGUAAAUGACCACAUUUAUUUUCUCCCAAUUUUGGUUUCGUAGGAGAUCCCAUAAAACAGCUUCUGCCACGAUAUGCGUCCGCUUCAGAAAAAAGAAAGUAAAAAAAAGAACAGGUGUAGCCCCGAGCAGCAGCCACGCACCCACGGUCCUCCCGACCUCUCGCCACGAUCCGCGGCGGGCACAGCCACACACGCGCGUGCCGACCAGGUCCACGCCGCACCGCACAACCGAGCUCCAGCUGAAGUCGGCCAUGACGCAACCCCGCGACCCCCGUGGCCAACCAAUCCCGCCGCCCGGAUACGCCUGCCACUGCCACUGCCACUGCCACUGCCACCCGCCCGCACCUUCCCCGAAACCCCCCCACCUCAUCUCCAUCCCCCCACACGUGCCCUUUUCCUCCCCAAGAAACCCUCCACGCAGCCGCCCCCUCCUCCCCUCCGAUCCGAACCUUCCAGACCGCUCCCGCACCCCCUCCCCUAUUUAUCCCCUCCCCCAUUCACCACCACCAUCACCACACCACACCACAGCUCGCUCACCACAAUCUCAACAGCCAUCGGAAUCAACAGCAGCAGCGGAGCGAUUUCAUCGACUAACAAAUCAGCGGACAUGGGGAUGCCGGCGGUGAGGAGGAGGGAGAGGGACGCGGAGGCGGAGCUCAACCUGCCCCCCGGCUUCCGCUUCCACCCCACCGACGACGAGCUGGUGGAGCACUACCUGUGCCGCAAGGCGGCCGGGCAGCGCCUCCCGGUCCCCAUCAUCGCCGAGGUCGACCUCUACCGCUUCGACCCGUGGGCGCUCCCCGACCGCGCCCUCUUCGGCACCCGCGAGUGGUACUUCUUCACCCCGCGCGACCGCAAGUACCCCAACGGGUCGCGCCCCAACCGCGCUGCCGGCAACGGCUACUGGAAGGCCACCGGCGCCGACAAGCCCGUCGCGCCCCGCGGAGGGCGCACCAUGGGGAUCAAGAAGGCGCUGGUGUUUUAUGCCGGGAAGGCGCCUAAGGGGGUUAAGACCGACUGGAUCAUGCAUGAGUACCGCCUCGCCGACGCCGGCCGCGCCGCCGCCAGCAAGAAGGGCUCGCUCAGGGUACGUGAUUUGAUCGAUUGGUUACUACUCCUGGUUGAUUUGGUUCUGAUUUUCAGAUCCCUGCUGCUUUGAUUGAUUGAUUGAUUGGUUUGGUGCUGAUUCUGAUCCCGAUCUGAAUUUGUUUCUUCAGCUGGACGACUGGGUGCUCUGCCGGCUCUACAACAAGAAGAACGAGUGGGAGAAGAUGCAGCUCCAGCAGCAGGGGGGAGAGGAGAUGAUGGUGGAGCCCAAGGCGGAGAACACGGCGUCCGACAUGGUGGUCACCUCGCACUCCCACUCGCAGUCCCAGUCGCACUCGCACUCGUGGGGCGAGGCGCGCACGCCGGAGUCGGAGAUCGUCGACAACGACCCGUCGCUGUUCCAGCAGGCGGCGGCGUUCCAGGCCCAGAGCCCCGCCGCCGCGGCGGCGCACCAGGAGAUGAUGGCCACGCUGAUGGUGCCCAAGAAGGAGGCGGCGGAGGAGGCCGGCAGGAACGACCUGUUCGUGGACCUCAGCUACGAUGACAUCCAGAGCAUGUACAACGGCCUCGACAUGAUGCCGCCCGGGGACGACCUGCUCUACUCCUCCCUCUUCGCCUCGCCCCGUCUCCGGGGGAGCCAGCCCGGCGCCGGCGGCAUGCCGGCCCCGUUCUAAGCAGAGCCGAGACAGAGACCGUCAGAGACAGAGAUCGACAGAAGCGGAACGGAUGACUUCUUCGCCGCGAGCAAGAUCGCUCGCGGACCAGUGUAAAUACAGCAUAGGAAACGGGAGGGAGGAUGCGUCGUCGUGUCUGAGAGAGCCGGCGUGGCGCGGUCGCCGGCGCCGGGGCGUGCCGCUGUACAUGGAGAGCCCGGUGCUGGGGCCUGGCCGGCUGGGUUGAUUCUUUUGUUCUUACUACUACUUUGUACUCUCAAUGCGGAUGUAGCUCUUUCUUCUCACUCCUCGGUAGUAGAAUCGACCGACCAAAUACAUAUGUAGCUCUGUUCCUUCCUUCUCUUCAGUAGAAAUCAACCAAAUUUUUCUGUUAUGCUGCUAUACUUCUCUGAUGUCGGGCAGGAUGAAUUGCCUCAAUUUUCAGUCAGUCUGAUCUACUGAUCUGCCUGUGUUGUGUUUGCCUGCCUGCUUGGACACACCAAGCACACUCCGGUUCUGCAGGUAGCUCUAUGUAGCUCGAGCUCCAGAACGAAUUUCUGAUAGUAUUGGUUCCUGUAAAAUG
RNAcentral lists this long non-coding RNA (52447 nucleotides) under Triticum aestivum (bread wheat). RNAcentral describes it as "long non-coding RNA (TAES_LNC008061)". The stretch from base 49921 to 50045 matches the Rfam family "MIR1120/MIR1122 microRNA precursor family". The record is from RNAcentral. Lineage: Eukaryota; Viridiplantae; Streptophyta; Magnoliopsida; Poales; Poaceae.